AAAAAAAGGAGGAGGUGGGAAGGAAGGGGGACUCCCUCCCACCAAACCUAGUCCAACUCGGUUUGGGGGGCAGAGUCCUCCCCCUUGGACUCGGCCGACCCCCUUGAGCCCCAAGGCAAGGCCCCCUCCCUCCCACCUAUAUAUACGGAGGUUUUAGGGCUGAUUUGAGACGACUUUUCCACGGCAGCCCGACCACAUACCUCCACGGUUUUUCCUCUAGAUCGCGUUUCUGCGGAGCUCGGGCGGAGCCCUGCUGAGACAAGGUCAUCACCAAUCUCCGGAGCGCCGUCACGCUGCCGGAGAACUCUUCUACCUCUCCGUCUCUCUUGCUGGAUCAAGAAGGCCGAGAUCAUCGUCACGCUGCCGGAGAACUCUUCUACCUCUCCGUCUCUCUUGCUGGAUCAAGAAGGCCGAGAUCAUCGUCACGCUGCCGGAGAACUCUUCUACCUCUCCGUCUCUCUUGCUGGAUCAAGAAGGCCGAGAUCAUCGUCACGCUGCCGGAGAACUCUUCUACCUCUCCGUCUCUCUUGCUGGAUCAAGAAGGCCGAGAUCAUNNNNNNNNNNNNNNNNNNNNNNNNNNNNNNNNNNNNNNNNNNNNNNNNNNNNNNNNNNNNNNNNNNNNNNNNNNNNNNNNNNNNNNNNNNNNNNNNNNNNAUUUAUGCCAUAGCUUUCAUUUCAUGUUACUAAUCACUUAGCAACCGAACCGGUAUCCAAUACCCUCAUGCUACUAGGAGUACUAGUAAAGUACACAUCAACAUCAUGUAUAUCAAAUAUACUUCUUUCGACUUUUGCCAGCCUUCUUGUCUACCAAGUAUCUAGAGUUGCUCCGCCUCAGUGACUGUUCCCCUCAUUACAGAAGCACUUAGUCUCGGGUUUGGGUUUAAUCUUGGGUCUCUUCAUUAGUGCACAACUGUUUUGCCGUUUCACGAAGUAUCCCUUCUAGCCCUUGCCUUUCUUGAAACUUAGUGGUUUUACAAACCAUCAACUAUUGAUGCUCCUUCUUGAUUUCUACUUUCGCAGUGUCAAACAUCGCGAAUCGCUCAAGGAUCAUUGUAUCUAUCCUUGAUAUGUUAUAGUUCAUCACGAAGCUCUCACCGCUUGGUGGCAGUGACUUUGGAGAACCAUCACUAUCUCAUCUGGAAGGUUAACUCCCACUUGAUUCAAGUGAUUGUCGUACUCAGACAAUCUGAGCAUACGCUCAACGAUUGAGCUUUUCUCCUUUACUUUGUGGACAAAGAAUCUUGUUGGAGGUCUCGUACCUCUUAACAAGGCCACAAGCAUGAAAUCACAAUUUCAUAUCUUUAGAACAUCACUUAUGUUCCGUGACGUCUCAAAACGUCUUCGGCGCCUUGCUUCUAAGCCAUUAAGUAUUUUGCACUGAACUAUCGUGUAGUCAUCAGAAACGUGUAUGUCCGAUGUUCACAGCAUCCACAGACGACGCUCGAGGUGCAGCACACCGAGUGGUGCAUUAAGGACAUAAGCCUUCUGCGCAGCAACGAGGACAAUCCUCUGCAAAGUUUGCUACUAUCAACUUUCAACUAAAUUUUCUCUAGGAACAUAUAAAAACAGUAGAGCUAUAGUGCAAGCUACAUCGUAAUUCGAAAAGACCAUUAGACUAUGUUCAUGAAAAUUACUUCAAUUAAUCAUAUUACUUAAGAACUCCCACUCAAAAAGUACAUCUCUCUAGUCAUUUGAGUGGUACAUGAUCCAAAUCCACUAUCUCAAGUCCGAUCAUCACGUGAGUUGAGAAUAGUUUCAGUGGUAAGCAUCUCUAUGCUAAUCAAAUCAACUAUACGAUUCAUGCUCGACCUUUCGGUCUCAUGUGUUCCGAGGCCAUGUCUGCACAUGCUAGGCUCGUCAAGCUUAACCCGAGUGUUCCGCGUGUGCAACUGUUUUGCACCCGUUGUAUGUGAACGUUGAGUCUAUCACACCAGAUCAUCACGUGGUGUCUCGAAACGAAGAACUGUCGCAACGGUGCACAGUCGGGGAGAACACAAUUUCAUCUUGAAAUUUUAGUGAGAGAUCACCUCAUAAUGCUACCGUCGUUCUAAGCAACAUAAGGUGCAAAAAAGGAUUAACAUCACAUGCAAUUCAUAAGUGACAUGAUAUGGCCAUCAUCACGUGCUUCUUGAUCUCCAUCACCAAAGCACCGGCACGAUCUUCUUGUCACCGGCGUCACACCAUGAUCUCCAUCAUCAUGAUCUCCAUCAACGUGUCGCCAUCGGGGUUGUCGUGCUACUCAUGCUAUUACUACUAAAGCUACAUCCUAGCAAAAUAGUAAACGCAUCUGCAAGCACAAACGUUAGUUUAAAGACAACCCUAUGGCUCCUGCCGGUUGCCGUACCAUUGACGUGCAAGUCGAUAUUAUCUAUUACAACAUGAUCAUUUCAUACAUCCAAUAUAUCACAUCGCAAGCAUACCCUGCAAAAACAAGUUAGACGUCCUCUAAUUUUGUUGUUGCAUGUUUUACGUGGUGACCAUGGGUAUCUAGUAGGAUCGAAUCUUACUUACGCAAACACCACAACGGAGAUAUAUGAAUUGCUAUUUAACCUUAUACAAGGACCUCCUCGGUCAAAUCCGAUUCGACUAAAGUUGGAGAAACUGACACUUGCCAGUCAUCUUUGAGCAACGGGGUUACUCGUAGCGAUGAAACCAGUCUCUCGUAAGCGUACGAGUAAUGUCGGUCCAAGCCGCUUCAAUCCAACAAUACCGCGGAAUCAAGAAAAGACUAAGGUGGGCAGCAAAACGCGCAUCGCCGCCCACAAAAACUUUUGUGUUCUACUCGAGAAGACAUCUACGCAUGAACCUAGCUCAUGAUGCCACUGUUGGGGAACGUCGCAUGGGAAAUAAAAAAUUUCCUACGCGCACGAAGACCUAUCAUGGUGAUGUCCAUCUACGAGAGGGGAUGUGUGAUCUACGUACCCUUGUAGACCGUACAACAGAAGCAUUAGUGAACGCGGUUGAUGUAGUGGAACGUCCUCACGUCCCUCGAUCCGCCCCGCGAACAAUCCCGCGAUCAGUCCCACGAUCUAGUGCCGAACGGACGGCACCUCCGCGUUCAGCACACGUACAGCUCGACGAUGAUCUCGGCCUUCUUGAUCCAGCAAGAGAGACGGAGAGGUAGAAGAGUUCUCCGGCAGCGUGACGGCGCUCCGGAGGUUGGUGAUGAUCUUGUCUCGGCAGGGCUCCGCCCGAGCUCCGCAGAAACGCGAUCUAGAGGUAAAACCGUGGAGAUAUGUGGUCGGGCUGCCGUGGCAAAGUCAUCUCAAAUCAGCCCUAAAACCUCCGUAUAUAUAGGGCGAAGAGGGGGAGCCUUGCCUUGGGGCUCAAGAGGCCCCAAGGGGGUCGGCCGAGCCAAGGGGGGAAGGUCUCCCCUUCCAAACCGAAUCCAACUUGGUUUGGAAGGUGGAGUCCUUCUUCCCUUUCCCACCUCCUCCUUUUUUUCUUUUCUCUUUGAUUUUCUUCCUAUGGCGCAUAGGGCCUUCUUGGGCUGUCCCACCAGCCCACUAAGGGCUGGUGCGCCACCCCCAAGGCCUAUGGGCUUCCCCGAGGUGGGUUGCCCCCCCCCCCCGGUGAACACCCGGAACCCAUUUGUCAUUCCCGGUACAUUCCCGGUAACUCCGAAAACCUUCCGGUAAUGAAAUGAGGUCAUCCUAUAUAUCAAUCUUCGUUUCCAGACCAUUCCGAAAGCCCUCGUGACGUCCGUGAUCUCAUCUNNNNNNNNNNNNNNNNNNNNNNNNNNNNNNNNNNNNNNNNNNNNNNNNNNNNNNNNNNNNNNNNNNNNNNNNNNNNNNNNNNNNNNNNNNNNNNNNNNNNGGAGAGGAUCCAAACAGUGUGUGCAUGCAUUGUAUCCCUUGUUUGACUGUCCUGAAAUGUUACUAAGAGCAGGCCAAUCAUUGAUGGUUACGAAAAGCAACGCUCGAAGGUCAAAUUCCUCUUGUUUGUGCUCGUCCCACACACGUACACCUGGUUCGGCCCAUAGCUGUAAAAGUUCAUCAACUAAUAGCCUUAGGUACACAUCAAUAUCGUUGCCGGGUUGCUUUGGACCUUGUAUAAGCACUGGCAUCAUAAUGAACUUCCGCUUCAUGCACAACCAAGGAGGAAGGUUGUAGAUACAUAGAGUAACGGGCCAGGUGUUGUGACUGCAACUCUGCUCCCCAAAAGGAUUCAUGCCAUCUGUACUCAGACCUAACCAUAAGUUCCUUGCGUCAGCUGCAAAUCUCGGGAACUUUCUCUCGAUUUUUCUCCACUUCCGACCAUCAGUGGUGUGCCUCAACUUAUCGUCUUUCAUACGAUCUUCCAUUUGUCAUCGCAACAACUUCGCAUGAUCUUUAUUUCUGAACAGACGUUUCAACCGUGGUAUUAUAGGAGCAUAUCACAUCACCUUGGCAGGUACCCUUUUCCUGGGUGGCUCGCCCUCAAUAUCACCAGGGUCAUCUUUUCUGAUCUUAUACCGCAAUGCAGUCCAUACCGGGCAUUUAUCCAUAUUCUCGUACUUCUCACCGCGGUAGAGGAUGUAGUCAUUAGGGCAUGCAUGUAUCUUCUGCACGUCUAAUCCUAGAGGGCAGACAAGCUUCUUUGCUUCGUACGUGCUGGCGGGCAAUUCGUUCUUUCUUGGAAGCAUCUUCUUCAUCAGUACCAGCAACUUUUCGAAUGACGAGUCAGUCACACCGGUCUCUGCCUUCCACUUCAGCUAGUCCAGUGUGCUACCCAGCUUCUUCUGGCCAUCUUCACAAGUUGGGUACAACAAUUUGUUGUGGUCCAGUAACAUCUACUCGAACUGCAACCUCUCCUUUUCUGUGUCGCAACCUCGCCGUGCAUCAGAAAUGACCCGGCCAAGAUCAUCAGCGGGCUUAUCUGGUUCGCGUUCUUCAUCCAGAUCUUCUUCUUCAUUGUCUUCCAUUGCGGUAUCAGCAUACUCAGGGAACAUAGAUCGGUAGUUGUCAUCAUCGUUCUCUUCUUCUUCAUCGUCGUCUUCCAUCAUAACCCCUCUUUCUCCGUGCUUAGUCCAAACAUUAUAGCCCGACAUAAAACCGGACCGAAGCAGGUGGCUCUGAAUGACUCGUGAGGAAGUGUAAUCCUUCUCAUUCCGACAUUCAACACAUGGACAAAACAUAUAGCCACCAUCAUGCUUGUUCGCAUCGGCUGCAUCUCGAAAAGAAUGCACGCCUUUUCUAUAAGCGGCUGUGCGUCGACCAUCAUACAUCCAUGGAUGGCUCAUCUGUGUUAUACGACAGUAUAUCAAAUACAAUCACGAUCCUAAAAAUUAGUACCGCAUGGUCUAAACGAGGAAAUAUAGUUGCUAACCUUUUAGAAUAAGUAGAAAUAAAGAGGAACAGGUUUAAGCGUGGCUCAGGCAUCUCAUAUCGUAGUUGUGUUCGGUGAACUGAAACGGCAUCGCUCUAACACACAUUUCAACAAACACCUCUAGUGCAUCAAAAAAGUGGAGAGCAAGCACCCACCCACAAUCCUCCAUCCAAGAAAAAUGCAGGGGGGCUGUGCUAUAUAUAGGCAGAGGACUUUAGUCCCAGUUUGAGACACAAACCGGGACUAAAGGUGGCGCACAUGCGGGCUGCCCACCGCGUAACCCUUUAGUCCCGGUUUGGGACACGAACCGGGACUAAAGGCUCCUUACGGACCGGGACUAAAGCCUCGAGGGAGGCAUUGAGAAUUGGGGCGACGUGGCCGGGCCUUUAGUCCCGGCCCAGAGGCAGGCCGGGACUAAAGGGUCCAGGCUAAAGGCCCGUUUUCCACUAGUGGCAUGAGAUCUACGUAACUUGCCAUGGGGGUAACGCAAAUUAUAUGAUCAUAGAUCCUGUGAGAAUUAGGAGCUGGGAAAACAAUCGGGUGAUCAAUUCAGAAGUGUAUCCUUACUAACACACUAUGUUGGAUAUGUAGUACUCUUGUAAUUUGUUGGACUGCACAUGUAACGGGUUGAUGUGACAACAAAAAGUGAGAUUAAAUUUAUUCUAUGGGUUUAGACAUGUUGUACUAGCCACACAUGCCGUGACCAUAUUGUGUUGUCCAUGCAUCAACUAAAGACUUGAAAACAAUAAAAAAUAGCUAAUGCUAGAUUACACCAAAUAUGUUGAAUAGUAAAAGAAAUUGUUACAUAAAGACAAGUAAAUGAUGAAGCAUGGUCUUAAAAUGCCCCCAGGUUCGCUCGCUCCCCCACCCCCCGAAGGAGACGGGUGAAUCCCCCUCUCCCCCUGUCCCCCUACCCCUUCUCCGCCGCUUUCUCCUGCUGUCGCAGGUUUGGUCCUCCAGCCCCACGGUAUUUCCCUGCACGAGCGAGGGGGCGCGGGACCUCCUUAUGGCGGCGGUGCUGCUCAUCCGGGAGUGGUGUAGUUCGGUGGUGUGGAAACCGCGGGUCACCGGUGCUUCUGAUGCGGUGGCUCGACCGUUGGUCGCGGGACGGCAUGGCGGAGCCGGUGGAAGGCGACGCCCGCAUGUCCCAGAUGUGGGCCCUUUUGGACCCCAUCUGGGUUAGGGUGGGUCGGUAUGUCUGAGCACGGAGGUGUUGCUCCCUGUUGUUGGUGGCGAGGAGAUGGUGGACUGCUCGUGGUAGCGGUUUCAUCAGACGGCAAGCUGCAGUGGGGCGACAACAGCUCUCCGUAUCCAUUUGGGCUUGGGUGGACCAGUCGGGCCUUUUAAGUCCCUGUCGACGCGUCCGGUCGGCUCAGCGAUGGCGGUGGAGGCCCCCCAGCCCAUUAUCUCCUCUAGCAUCCUCCAGGUCUCAUGCUGGUGGACUCACUGAGACGGCGAAGAUAGUUCGGUGACUGUGGUGUCACAUGCGGGUCGGCUGCGUGUAGGUUGGGCAGUACACUACUGAUCGUUCACGAUGGUGGUGUGUGUUUGGGUCGGGAGAAAUCCCUGGCAGGUCGUCCGGCUCUGAUGCGGCAACGCCUCUGGGUGCCGCCGGGCCUUCCUGAAGGGAGUCGGGUAUGCCCUUGCCGAACUACCCUCCAUGUAUCAGAGGAAACACUAGGACUAGUCCGUACAACAAUGCCGUUGUCGUCGCAUUCUUUCUUUAAGAUGUUGCUAGGUAUGAGACGCCUCGGAGUGCUAGGAGCGCGGUGGUACUUCUUCGGAGGGUGGAACGGUUGUCGGUCAUGUUUGCUUCAUGGAUCUGCCGGUGUUGGCAUUUGUUUCUCUUUUCUAUUUCUAUCGUUUUUUGGCUAGCUUGUGUCGUGGCCUGAGUGUGCUCGAUGUAUCGAUUAGUUGCUUUAUAAUAUAAAGCGGGGAAACCUUUAUUGUCAAUCUGCAACAGAACUACUUGGCCGAACAAACAGUACUCAGUUUGCAACAAUCAUCACUAUGAAAGGGCAAAUGACGGGCAGCUGUGGCGUGGAUGUGAGGGUAUAGUUAAUUCGUGCAAUUUUUUUUUUGUUGAGGAAGUGCAUCAGCCUUUUUUUUGCAUCGAAUGCAUGACUUUACUCAACUUAAUAUUAACUGAUUAUAGUAUGCUUGCAGACAACUGAUAAGGAAAUCAGGGCUAAGAUUUAGCCUGCUCUCCGUACCAUCGAGCGUAAAAGCACGUUGCGCACAUAGGUGGGCCGGUACAUUAAGUUCCCUGUUGACAUGCGGAAAUGAGAAGGUAGAAUCUGCUCCUAAUCUCUUAUGAUAGGCGUCGAAAUGAACCGAAUAUUGCCGCACUUGUUCCAUAGAGUGACUAGCUCCAAGCUAUCACUCUCUAUGAUCACAUCUUAAUAUAUAUGGAGCUGGACGGAGAUCACCCCCUCCCUGGGACCAGCAGCUCUGCCAUGAACGUAUACGAAACUCGAGGCAAUGGCUUACUCUGGCUCCCAAAAAUGCGAUGUGGGAUUUCCUAUACAGCCUUGUGCAAUGUUGUUGAAACAUCAUACGGUCGUGGCAUUUCUAUACGGCGCCUGUUGCGUUACUUCAUUAUUUGCAAUGUUGUUGAGUAAGCAUGCACCUGGCAUGGACCAAACUAACCAUGAGUGAUGUUGCGUUUAUUGCAUAAUUCCUUUACACCUAAUCUUGGUCUUCGCUCCAUCUCAAUUUACAUGUCUUGAAGUACAAAUCUUGCAUAUCUCCAGUAUAAAAUACAUUUUCUGCCAACAUAAAGAUCACUCACUCGUUGUUAAACUGCCUAAGCAUGUUGGUUACAUUCCUUUCUACUCAUCUGAGAAUUCACCCACGAGUAUGUGUUGAUUACUGGUUUCAAAACCAUGUUCAUUAUUGUUAAGCUUCUGGCAUGGUUGGAGCGCAUCGCGCUUGGAGGAAAACAGGGGAUUGGCUGUUUCAAACAAUAAUUAUGGGGACGAAAAGGAAAGGAAAACGAUAUAUCGCCAUCUUCCCAUUCCUACCUCAUUCUCUUGUUAAUCCCAAUAGGAAGCCAAAAAAUCCUGCUUAUGUAUACUAAGAUGAUUUUCCAUUUAAUUCCUAGAGGUUUUAUUGGAGCAAACAAAUAUAUUAAAUUUUUCAUAUGUGAAUGGGAUUCUAGAUCAGCCUUAGAAGUUCAAAUUACAGACAAAUUGAAGCAAUCACAGUAAACUUGUAAUUGAAAUAAUUAGGUGCUCAAAAUAUUUGUUAUUAGUAAGCAAAAUCUCGUACGAAAUUGGGCACUUGAUCUAUACAUAUUUCAUACAUGCAUUGAUGAAUUAUAACUAGCAGGAUCAAAAUUGCGGCAAGCACAUCGAAUUUUCAAACACCCUACAAAAACAAAUGGAUCUCUCAUUUACGUGCAAUAUACAAAUGAAAAAUGAAUUUGUAGAUGUCCUAUAUAUAGUUAAUGUCCACAACGUCCUCAACUUGUCUUGCACAAACCACAUGAAUUUCUCAAGGGUUUCUGGGUUUUGGUUGCGGUAUCGUGUUGCACUCCACUGCAUUGUUGUAGUUAUCAUCUGCCACAUCAACACACUGAAAUAAUACUACCGUAGUAGUUUAUAACCGAACAUGUGCUGAUGGCUGGCAUAGGUAGAUCGACCGUGCAUGACUUCAUGAUGGCAUGUAACAAUAAACAUGUAAAGAAACAUUAGAAAAAAAUCAUUAUUCGUGAUGGCAUAGUACUAUUCUAUUGCCAAACGUUAUUACCAUUAACAAGAAAUUCAACUCUAUGUAUAUGUUGGGAGAUGCAUGUUAUUCGCCACACCUCUUGAAGAAUUCUGGCACUUUAUCGAUAAGGUAGUUUGCAGGACUACGUACCAUCCAUCCUCAUUACCUAAUUUGUCCAUUAUCAUUUUUCAAAGUCAUCACUCGCCUAUCUACCUUCCAACCUAAUCUUGAGAUCCGAACCCUACAUACAUUACAUAUACUUCCUACUCCCAUGUCAUGCUUAGUUUUCACUCCCAAACUCAGUGCUUUACCUCAUCUUCGUUUGCUUGGAUUCCCAAGUAUUGAUGGGCUCUCAAACACGGGGGACAAGGAUUAGUCUUCCAUCCUUUUUAGAUAUUGACUAGAAAACAUGUCCGUGUGUUGCACCGGCAUAAAAAAUGAUCCCACAUACACACACCCGUCGAAAUCAGCAAAUUCCUUGAAGUAUUUCAUGAUGUGGCACGGCAAACAAGAUGAUAAGCUGUGUUGUCUAAAAACAUAAACAUGGAAUGAUUUUUAGUGUAAGGUAUUUCCAAUUUAUUAGACAACCAAAAUAUCUAUGAAGUUGCCCUUCUCUUUUUAAGCAAUUCUCGUCGUCCCUCCACUAGUAAAAAACAGGUCUUUCAUUUGACCCUUUAGUCCCGGCUUGGUUGUGAACCAGUUCCAAUGGCUAGGAACGGUUGGCGGGCACGGUGUAACGACUAAGAUGCGGCCCUUUCCUAUUUUGGGGGCGAUGCCUCAAAANNNNNNNNNNNNNNNNNNNNNNNNNNNNNNNNNNNNNNNNNNNNNNNNNGGGAAAGAGGCGCAUCUAAACGUUUCGCAAGCGAGAUAAUCAUAACAUUACGUAUAUGAAGAAUGACAAGUAGGGCAUACACUUGCCAUCUGACAUAGUAUAACGUAAGGUUUACAGCCACACAAUUAUUCAGAACAAGUUUAGUCCCGCUACGGACAACAUGAAACAAGUAAAAGAGCUAUGACAUCCCGCAUGCUGGCCCACGAUCACGACCAUGGCCUGAGUCCUCCGGAUAGUUCACGUACAGUCGGUCAGACUCCUCAUCGUACUGCCACGCCAGCUGGGUGCCAUCAGGAUCUCCGGCGUCGGACGUACCUGUACCUGUUGGGGGUGUUCUAGUAAACUGUGAGCCACGGGGACUCAGCAAUCGGAUGACCUUGGUACCGAAACUAGUCAAGUUAUUUGGUGAGGAAGGUUUAGUGUAUAGGAUGCAGCAUCCGAAGCUUGUAUGGUGGCUAACUUACGACGAUCAGAGUAUUUGAUAUGGUGGUCUGCGCGAGCGGUCCAAGUCUAGAUGAUCACUAAGUGAUCCUGAACACCUACUUAUGUCAAACAUAACCCCACCGUGUUCCCGAUCGAAGAGAGGUCUUCGAAGGAGACAGUCACGGUUACGCACACAAUUGGCAGUUUUAUUAGAGUUACUUUAAGUUGUCUAGAAUCGGAUGUUAAAAAAUUAUCCAUGUUUGCCACAUAACCACGGGCACGGCUUUCCGAAAGAUUAAACCCUGCAGGGGUGCUCCAACUAGUCCAUCACAAACUGCCACGGGCCGCAAAGUAAUCCUCUAUCACGAAUCUCGUGAUCUCGUCGGAUUCCUUAGAGGAAAACCUCAACUUUGAGGAGACCCAAAGUUUCACCGAGACUCUUAUACGCAAGAUAUAUCGCUAAGGUAAGACAAAUCUAGCAGGACCUCCCGUCNNNNNNNNNNNNNNNNNNNNNNNNNNNNNNNNNNNNNNNNNNNNNNNGUCGUGUAGACGACCCCGAUAAGAGUCGCGUAUCUCAGUCACAGGACACGACGGAUGAGCGAUGGUUACCAUGCCAAAACACCGAGUUGCCCCGGGGAGCGUAAUAAGCUGCUCUGGGUUGGACCAACACUCAUGAGGAGCACUGGCCCGGGUUGUUGAUUAAAUCCUCGGGGUAGCUAUUCCCUAUGCAAAUUAUUAUUGGGUGAUUAGCAAAUUAAAACCAAUGUUGGGUCCUGCCGGACAAGCCUUAACACUACACGAUUUAUCAAGGGGGUCCCCAUAACAACCGCGAACGUGUUAGGAGCGAUCAAUUAUGGAAUCAAACACCGGUAGCCGAAACUAAGGCGGCAACAACGGAACAAAUCACCCGGCAAAAGGCUAGGCCUUCCAUCAUUUACCAAGUAUAUAGGUGCAUUAAUUAAAUGGCAGUUUAAUCAUAAUGUUAUCGAAAUACUCAUGUUAUCACAUGAGACAGUGGGCACCUACAGCUAGCAAAGCUAUUCAUUACAGUUUGAGCAAGCCUACUUAGCCAAACAACUUUUGCUAGGAGAGGAAGGUGUUUGGGUUUCAUGGCAAUAGCAGGAGGCAUUAUAUCAAGUGGUAGGCAGCGAGCAUAUAUCGAAGGAAACGUGAUUCUAAGCAUAACAAAGCUAGAUACGGUAUCCAGGUCACGGUCAUCUUGCCUGUGAUGUCUUCAGCUUGGAACAGCUCUUGAUCUUCCUGCACGUGCUCUCCCAAAUCCACGUACUCGCUCUCCGAUCCCGAUGCUACCCAAGAUAAAAUAACAACCAAUGAACACCAACACAACAUGAUGCAACAAACAAUAUGAUGCAUGAGAUGAGUUGAUAAACUUCUGGACAGAACUUCAUACUAAGUUAUCUUGACAUGCAUGAGGAUGGCAUGAACAUGUGCAUCACGAGAAAACGAAGCAAAAACAAAGAACAUAGAGAACAGAGCUACGGAUCAACCGGAAACUACAAAAGAAGAUAUGGAGUCCUACGGUUCAAAUCAACCACAAGCACACUCCAAUGGCACUCUCCUGGUGUCACCAGGUUGCCACAUGAUCAAGCAAUCACAUACAAGUGGGGUGGUGCAUGGAAUCACAGCACACCAUCAACAAUGCCCACACAAGCUUCAAAACAACUAAAACAUGCAAUCUGUUUUUAACAGCAUCAUAGCAGUUUGUCUACAACAUUCAAAGUACCUACAGCCACCCAAAUGAGCCAAACAAGAUAUUAGGCAAAAGCCAUUCAAAAGCUCUACAAGCCUGUGCAAGAAGUUACUGCAAAGACAUCACACAUGAGAAGAUCUACACGCACCAAAAUGGACAAAACAUUAUAGAUUCUGGGACAUAGUGAAAAUCUCAGAUUUUCACCAGUUGCUUAUGCUCUGAAGCAUUUUGGCUGCCGACGCCUCCAAAAUGAUAUCUACAGGAAGUGAAAGAGCAUGAAAUUUAACAGGGAGCUAGACAAACACAAAAUCUCACAAACCUUAGUUUGUUGCAUGGGCUGAUUCCCAGCACAUGAGCUUGUGCAACCAAAUCAACAAGGGUAGAAAAUAACAGCAGAUUCUCAGACUUAGUGAAAAUCUCAGGUUUUCACAAAGCUGUCAAUUUCAGACAAGUGUCAACUUUGACAAGGCACAACAAGUGCAUACAAACUCCUAUGAAUAAAAGAAAGACCCCAUGCGGUAGAGGAGUUCACCCACUACUUCCACAUCAAGGAUUCAUCCUCAUAGGGUCAAAGCACUACAUGAUACUAAGCUCUAAACAUGGCAUCAAGACAGAAAAUGACAGUUUAUGAACUUGCUAUAAAGUGAAAUCUGAUUCCACCAGUAGAUUCGUGAGAUGAUUCUACCCCAAAAGCAUAUAUAAUACAUGGGUACUUGCAUGUAACAUGUAGGCACAAAGCUAGCUCGAAAAACAGCAUAAAAAUCAAUAUGAGCAUAUAGGAGCAUUAUCACAUGUGUCUUAGCACUUGCAGCAUCUACUACUCCUACAUAUGCACACACACAAGGUUCAUACACCACCACAUCACCAUAGUGGCAAGCAUGAGGGGUUAGCCCUCAUGCAAAAGUGCAUAUGUGCACUCAUGUCCACACACACACAUGCAAGAACACACACAUGCAACUAUAUGUGCCUACACACACACUACAAGAGGUGCAUCAAGAGGGGCUGCCCUCUUGCACAUAUGCAUGUGCCACCACAUGCACACACACACACACUCACCCUCAUGUGCACAUGUAUAUACAAGUGCACACUCACACUACUCAUACUCACACAAGCGCUUGCACACACACUCAAACAUACAUAAGAGCUAAACUUAAAAGGAUUAAACCCACUGGUUUUGAUAAAAACCCAAGACAUCUUGUUGCCCAAGUAAUGUAACAGGAAAACAAAAUGAACAAAAGUGCACACUCAGACUACUCAUACUCACACAAGCGCUUGCACACACACUCAAACAUACAUGCUCACCAUCAACACUUGAUGCUCUUUACGGAGUUCAGACUCUGCGACUUUCAGCAUUGCAAACAACUCGCCGGGAGACUUGUUCAUCCCUUGCAUGUUGUAGUUAGGUUUAGUUUUGAUAAAAACCCAAGACAUCUUGCUGCCCAAGUAAUGUAACAGGAAAACAAAAUGAACAAAAGGUAAAAUAUAAAAGGGGGGGGGUCCCCAGGAUUCGAACCUAGGUCUCCUGGUGCAACACACACACCACACCACUACACACACACCACAGGUGAUCUAACCCUGUCUGUCGAUCUACCGCUGUUCUAAAACAAAUAAAAAAAAGGGGGGUUUCCAGGGAUCGAACCCACGACCUAUGGCAACAACACACACACACUAAGCAGUCGGGCUACGAACAGAGUCUUGACAGGGAGGGGGGAAGGUGCUCUUUGACCAUCCCCCUCUGCACUCCCUACAGGCCAGCGCGGCCGGAACAGGGAACCUCAUCGGCGGCACAACGGCGACACUAUGCGACCAGACGACGGCUACACGCUACGGGGAAGAAGAGGGAACCACCAGGGUUCCAUUCCCGCCCUAAGCUCACCGGGAGGUGCACUACUACGGCGGCUCCACGAUCACCUAGCUACGAUAGGUGCUGCUACUGCCCACGCGACCAGACAACGCCGGCGAUGAGCUCCGGGCGCUGCAGAGGGAAGGAUGAGGUGGAGGGGAGAGGGGCACGCUCACCUAGGGUGUCGAGGAGGAAGGGCUCGUCGGAGAGGAAAAAGGUGACGAAGAGGUGCUGUAGAAGGAUCUCGUCGGAGAGGAAAAAGAGGGUCGUCGUCACGCCGUCGAUGCCGAGGCUCCCUACGCUCGAUCUUCUCGGGGAUGGGACUCCCGCAGCCACCGCGUGCUCCUGGACCGUUCGGGGAAGAAGAAGGGGCGAUGAUCUGUCGGCAGCGAGCUUACCAGGGGUCGGCCAUGGCGGAUGCUCUGCUCGGGAAAGCCCCCGACGGCGCUAGAGAGGAGAGGAGGAGGAAAACGGAUGGCCUAGGGUUGCGGGGAGGGUUCUGGCUGCUUAAAUGGCAUCAGGCCGCGUUCUUGGAGCCGCAAGAUCGAGAGGGGGGAGGGUAUGUGGCUGUGUUGUGGUCGUACACAGUGACGACAACGAGGAGGAAGAAGGGUCGCCGGAUGGACUGCGCGCGCAAGGAAAGGAGACAAUGGGCCAGGAGACAUGAGGAGGCCCAUAUGCUUGCGCCAGAUAAACAGAGGGAAAAACCAAAAGGUUUUUUCCAUUUAAAACAAAACCACAUCCAAAUGAAUCACCUAGGACAUUCUGGGGUUCCAAAAAUAAAAAUAAAACAUCCCUGGGCACAAGGAAAUUAUGCUCUAUUUAAAUAAAAUGAAAAGUAGAUUUUUGGAGCAACUAAAAUAAACACAAAACAGAAUUAUUUAAAUCUGUUUUGUAGAUAAAACCACACUUAAGUAAAGUUUUGAAAAUCCCUAGUCACAUCUCUAAACCCACGAGAAAAGGCAUUAAAAGAACUACAUUUUUAAACCAGGAAUAAAACAAAUCAAACAUGAGCUCACUAUAUAAGGGGAAGGGCUUUAUUUGAAUUCUAGUUUGAAAACACCCAAGUUUGAAUCCAAGUUGGCAACCACCACAUCAUCACACCACACAUAUGGAUAAACAACAACAACAACAACAAAAGAAAUGGCAUAAAUGCAAUGAAUGGUAUGAUGCAAAGGUGGAGACAUGUAAUGACAACUCUCAUAUAGCAUGACCUCAUGGAUCCAAACAUCAAAGGUUUCCAAAUAUGGCAAGGUUACAUCUGGGGCAUUACACACGGGCACCAUUACUCCCGGUUCAAUUUGAACCUGUACUCCCGGUUUGUGAUACCAACCGGAACUAAUGGGUUGGUGGCAGUCUGGUGUCAGGCUGGGGCCCCCACUAGCCCCUUUAGUCCCGGUUUGUAUCACAAAACGGGACAAUAGGUAGACCUUUAGCCCCGGUUUGUGAUCCAAACCAGGACUAAAGAUUUUCCUAUAUAAACCCCUUCGUCCAGCCCGAGCACAUUGCUCUAUUUUCUCCAUUCCCCUCUCUGUUCUCCCCCUUGGCUUGAGCUCAACCUUCAUUUUUGCCAAGAUUUGUCAAGGUUUGAGGCACCCCAUCUCUCCAAGUGUUCACAAAGGUUAGCAAAUUUGUCCUUUCAUCUCUCAUUGCUAGAUCGGCUCGUGCAAUGCUCUAUAAGUAUAGUGAUUUGUGGAUUUUAGUUCGGGAGUAAUUAUGUGGGUGUUUAUUUGAUUUAUAUGCAAUUUGAGCUCAAAUUAAAUUGCUAGUUUGCAUAUCUAUAGGUGUGGUUAGCUUAGUAUAGUCCCCGUCCUAAGCAUGGUCGAUCGCCCGCACCGUCCCGUCGCCGUCGACACCACAUUGGUGAGCCCCUUGUUCUUAUCUUUUUUUACAAAAAAGAUCUUAUUUGUAUGAUUUAGAUAGUUACUUGUAUAAUUUUCAUACUUGUAUGAUUGUUUGUUAUACAUAGUACCAUGAUUUUGAUAUCCGUGCCUAUCGGCCCUCGUCCAGUUUAUGAUUCGGAUGUGGUAUAUUCUCGAGAAGUUAAAUUUAAUUGAAAAAAUGAGGAUUUGAAAGGAAAAUUGAAAAGAGUUGAAGAAGAGAAGAUGAUAUCGGAGUUGUACGUUGUCGAUGUCGUCGAUGAUCACAAGAUCAAGAUGGAUGCAAUGCGCUUGAAGAUUAGAAGGAUUAGAAAAUAUGCCCUUAAUAAAGAGGCUUGAUAUCACUUUGGUGUUGGAUCAAUUGUUACCUUAGUUGCGAUCUUGGUCGCAUUUGUUGUUGCAUUUAAAUGCUUUAGCUAGAAACUCUUCUAUGUUGUUUUAUGAGAAUAAGUGUGAAUGAACAUUAUGUGUGAACUUGUAUUAAUUUGGUCUUUUCGGUCUUGUGUAAUGAAGAUGAACCGACAAUGGAUGUACGAUGACCGACGCUCUCCCCAGUUCAUUAAUGGCUUGCAGAGUUUUCUGCGUACGGCUGAGGCAAACUAGCGGGAUGGUUUUAUGUGUUGUUCAUGUGGUGUCUGUAAGAAUGAUAAAAAUUACUCUAAGUCAAGAGUCAUUCACGUCCACGUGUUUGCGUCCGGUUUCAUGUCCGGCUAUAACUGUUGGACCAAGCACGGAGAAAGAGAGGUUCUAAUGGAAGAGAAUGAAGAAGAUGAUGAUGACGGCUAUCCUUCGUUCCCUGAAUACGAUGGUACUACAAUGGGGGAAGAAGCUGAAGUAGAGGCACCAGAUGAGCCCGUUGAUGAUCUUGGUCGGGCCAUUGUUGAUGCAAAGAGAAAUUGUGCAAGUGAAAAGGAGAAGCUGAUGUUGCACCACAUGUUAGAGGAUCACAAGAAAUUGUUGUGCCCAAAUUGCAAAGAUGACAAGAAGAAGUUGGAUACCACACUGGAAUUGCCGCAUUGGAAGGCAGAGAAUGGUGUAUCUGACAAGUGUUUUAAAAAGUUGCUGAAAUUGUUAAAGAAGAUGCUUCUAGAGGACAACGAAUUGCCCGACAGUACGUACGAAGCAAAGAAGACUAUCUGCCCGCUAGGAUUAGAGGUGUAAAAUAUACAUGAAUGCCCUAAUGACUGCAUCCUGUACCGUGGUGAGCAGUGCGAGAAUUUGAAUGCAUGCCCGGUAUGCGGUGCCGAGCACUAUAAGAUCGGCCGCGAAGACCCUGGUGACCAUGUUGAGGUCCAACGCCUCAGAAAGAGGAUUCCUCCUAAGGUGAUGUGGUAUGCUCCUAUAAUACCACGGUUGAAACGUUUGUUCCAAAACAAAGAGCAUGCCAAGUUGAUGCGAUGGCACAAAGACGAACGUAAGAAAUACGGGAUGCUGAGAGUAGCCGUAGAUGAGUCGGAGUUGGGGAAAUCGAGAGAGAGAGUAGCCGGACUUUGCAAAUGACCCAAAGAACUAUUGAUUUGGUUUAAGUGCAGAUGACAUUAAUCAUGUUGACGAACAGAGUGGCAAUCAUAACACCUGGCCGGUCACUCUAUGUAUCUAUAACCUUCCUCCUUAGUUGUGCACGAAGCAAAAGUUCAUUAUGCUCUAUUUAGUUCUGUGGAUUACUGACAUGACUUCUCAGCUCAUUGGCUUGCUCUUUUCUCUAGUGAUUAAGAAGCCCCAAAUAAAUUAACCUGUAUUUCAUAUAUAUGCUCUAUUUACUUCUGUGGACAACUAUGUUGGACCCAUGAUGAUUCUUCGAAAUUUUAAUUACAAUCAAUAAUUAGAGCGGCUCAAGACAUAUAUCGUCCUUAUCGUAUGCCCCCUAGUGGUAAUUUGAACUAACUUAGCUAGAGAGUCUCCCCGAGUGAGGAAUACUGAUUACAUUUAAAAGUAGUGGAUGAUCAGAGGCUUACUAGUUCGAUAAAGCAGAAUUAAUUAAGAGUGAUGCACACAUUAUUUCAAAUGUUUAAACAAAAAUGACAGAGGUUGAGCAGCCAUAUACACAUUCAAACAGUUCAGGAAUUGACUGAUCGGUUGCCGGCUGGGUUCAACAUGUCAUGAUUGAUUAAUCUAAGAGGCUUGCACGAGAUAACAAAUUAAUACUACUACUCCGUUGCCAAAUCUGAUUACCCAUUCCAAGAACUCAGGUUUAUGUAUAACACUGGCCACUUAAGCAUGAGCUUGUUUGCGUCUAGCUAUGUACUGUCGCCGUUAUUACGUAAUCUAUCCACCUCACUUUUUAUGGAGCCUUUGCUGCGCAAUCCAUUUUUUUAUGUUGCUAGCCUAUAUAUCGUACUUAUGACCUCCAUUUCGAAAAAAAAAAUAUUCCUUAUGGCCUCAUGACGUGAGCAUGUGAGGAUUGUCAGCAUAAAAAUGAAACCGCCACCGGCCGACGAUCGCCGGAGACAAGGAAGAAGAGGUGGAAGACGAACAAGGUGAUUUUGCGGGGCCACAAACACCCAGCCGCACGAACGACUUUUUCUCUUUUUCACCUCGAGCACGCACUCGAUCAUCUUGCCGCAGUACACACAGGGGGGUGUUUAUAUGCGGGUGCACAGACACGCCGCGCCGCACUCCAACGCUCCCCACUCCCACGUUCCUCGCGCUCCGCAGCUCGCGUGCCCGGUGCGCACACACGUACACAACGCGGCUGGGUCUCGCGCCUGGACGUGGUCACCACUGCGUCUAUUGCGCUAACUAACACACACCUGCACCCACUCACACACAUGAGAGCCUGCUUCGCCAAACGUUGUCGUCGUCGUCGCUGCCCCCGCCAGACGUCGUAGUCGCCCACCGCCAUGAGAGCCUGGUUCGCCGCUGCCGCCGCCUGCCGAGGCUUCGGGCAGUCGCGUUUAAAGUCGCCCCGCUGCCCAUAGUUAUACCAGCGCCCGCGCCUCUUCAUCCUGCCGCCCGAUACUGUGUUGGCCGUGCCGUCGUCGUCGAAGCCGCCGCUCCGCUGCCACUGGCGCGCCGCCCAUUGCGCCUCUGUGAGCAUCAACUGCCUAUCCGCUCGCUCGCCUCCGGCCUGCGUGCGGCGCCGUGUCCUCUCUUCGAAUGCUUUUAGAUACUCGAGAGCCUCGUCAAACGUCAUCGCUUCCACGCCGCAGAACCAACACUCACUACUGUUACAGGUUAGCUGUAGCGUUGUAGCGCUACUGCUAGGCUUUUCUCUAGUAGAGUGCCCGUGAUUUCCUGGAAUAGGAAUUAAAUGACAUUCCGGCAAAACAUAGGCCACGUUACUAAUGCUUAGGAUUCACUUUAAGUCUGUCGGAGCUCCUUUGUGAGGAAUCCCAACUGUUUUCAUGGGGAUCAUUUCCUCUUCCUCCGCUUUGUAUUAUAUACCUUGAUAUAAUGCACGAGAGAGGGAGAGGAAGUGACCAUCACCAGUGGUUGAAAUAUUGGAUAAAGAAUCCCGACUGUUCUCGUGUGGGUCGGUUCCUCCUUCUUCCCCAUGUGCUAUAUAUAUUCGUAAUGCAUGCGGGGACGAAGGGAGGAGAAGCUAGCAUCGACGGUCCGAAUAUUAUUGUGAGGGUAUACACCAUCAUAUUAAUGUGAGGGAAUGCCCAACAUAUACACCAUGUAAUAUGAGAGUUUUUCAAGAAAACCUCGACCGACCGAAAUUCAACCCAUGCUGAAUAAUGAUUUGUGUGGGUGAACUGCUGGUAUAAUUGUGGUAGAUUUUUAAUCUUUGACUCAUGAACACAUGAAAUGUUUGAUGGCGAAGGGAUCAAUGAGUGCGUUCACUGCACCGACAACAGUGGUCUGUGCGACCGUUAUCCUUGCUUAGACAAUGGUAGGUACUUCAUUGUCACGCUAAAGGAGGCGUUCCGAAUUUCCACGGUAUGUAACAGCGACAUGCAUUUUCUUGUAAUAAAGCAUGACGUGUUUUUUUUUGCUUUAACCUGUAAUUUUCUUUUCUAAAUUUGACUAGUGCACUACUUGCAACGCAAGACUAUAUGUCUUGGGCAAGCUUUAUUCCGAAGUUAAGGAGAGUACAUAUACUAAGAUAGCUCGUCUAAGGACAGAAAAAUUCACUUUCGUUAUAAAGCCCUUGAAGGGAGCAGAUGACAUAUAUUUUGGUUGUUACAGUCGGGGAGCACUAUGCAAGGCAUAUGGUUUCAGAAGGGCAUGCAAAUAACCUUCAAUCUUAGUCAUGAAGAUGAUCAUGAAAAUAAUAUCAAAAUUUUGGUGCAUGUGGAUCACAUGACUCCAGUUCUACCUCCAUGUGAGUUUGUCAACAAAUUUGUCAAGUAGUUCAUAUUUUUCAUUGAAAAACAUUUCGUACUCAUCCCUACUUAACUAGUUUAUUUUUAAUUAUCUGUUUAUUUCUUUUCUUCAAAAAAGUCUCGAAAGAUAGUAGACCGGACCUACUACAGUCAUGGCUUCGAUCUCACUUGGUUGGAGAAAAAUCAUCUGAUCUCAUUUAUUAAUGAUGUUGAUAAUUUAAAGACCAAUUAUCAAAUUGGUGAAAGUUAUUCUCGAUACAUGCCACUAAUGCACAAGUUGAACUCUGGUGACAUAUGUGCAGAUAGCAUGGUAUGUCUUUUUACUAUUGUGUCAUUAGUCCAUCUUAUGCAUACAUAUUUUUUCCUUAAGAAAAAAUAGAUUUCUAACUAGGUUAUUAUUAUGUUCUUUAGCCAGAGCUUGUGCCUCACCUGAUGUUUCUCAAAGGUCAUUUGGAUAUCAUCAGCUUACAACCACUUCUCCCUACGUGUUUCCACAAAGCAUACUCGGUUUCUAUAAGGGAAGAAACCCUAAAAAUCAAAAUAUUUAGCAACAUAAUGAAAGACGACAAACAACCACUUGUCGGAUACGAAAAGGAUUUUCACAGGUCACAAGUCAGAGAUACGUGGAUAUCUAUUCUUCACAAUUGACAGGGAGAAGAUUACCUCUUUUAUAGUAUUUUACCCUGGAGAGAGUAGUAGAUUGUACCUGGGAGUGAAUAGUAUGUGCUAGAGAGGACCUUUUGUAGUUUAUUUCAUUGUGCAGUAUUAUUAAGUUGGCAUGACUAAAACGAUGAUGAGUUGUUAGAUGAUUAACAUUAUGAUGAGUUGUUAGACUAUUAAGAUGAUGAUAAGUUGUUAUGUGAGUAAGGAUGAUGAGUUAUUAUAUGACAUAGAUCAGAUUAAAGUUGAUGGGUGCAAGAAUUAGUAGGAAAAUAUGACGUUUACAUUGGCACACAAGUGUUCAUCGCCUGCUUGUCUUGAACUGUAAACUCCUAGAAACCUCCCUUGGAACACUACAUACCACUUCUCCUUGCAUGACAACAGAGCAAUAAUUCAGGCAGCAAGCAGUAGAGAGCACUAUACAUGUAACAUAAGAAUGCAUGCCUCAUCAUAUGGCAUUCCAAGUUCAUCCUAACACUACUAUGGUGCCAACAUACCACCAAAUCCAAAAGAGGGUGUUAUCCUACCACCUCUAGUUCAUCAUCCACAUGAGGGGUUAAUACAUACCACCUCAAUAAAAUAUGCAUGCCAGCAUCAAGAGUUUAUCAACCCAACUACCACAAAAUAUACAUCAUCGACAUCGCCAUCACCAUAGCCUUGAAGGAUCAUGCACAUAGUCACCACCACCACACAAAACAUCACUAGUAGUAGUGCUUGCUCAGCCCGAUCCUGAGCAAGAGCACCAAGUGGUCGUCUGCCAUGGCAACAAAUCUAACACCAUGAGCCAUGUUGUCCCGACAACCUAGUGUUUACGCGACAUUUAAUAUGCCAUCACGUUGAUUUCACUAGGAAAAAUAAAUUGAUCUAGACAACAAAUUGCUAAUUUAAUAUGCAUUCAUUUUGUUCACGCAAUCAAGACAAAUGACACUAUUUAUACAUAAUUUACAUAUGGUCCUCAUCCUAAAUUUUGAACUUCAUUUAAUAAACAUAAUGACCAAAUAUAUAGGUUUAUCGAAACGACCAUAUAUAAGAGUAUUCCAUUUUGACCUGUACUCCACUCCACUAACAGAGACGAGCAUGUGUUUUGAUUGAUCUCAAAUUCAGAUAUGAAGCACACAGGGCAGUUUUGUUUUAGAAAAGGAGGCGUAGCCCUGACCUCUGCAUCGAGAGAACACAUGGCAGUUGAACGCAGAAAUUUCUACAACAAAUGUAAAGAAGAUACUGUAGAGCUUGGGCGACGCGGGCUUGGUCAGCGAUGUCGACUCGGUGUCUGCAAACCUAUUGUUUCGAAUUAAUAGUGUUUGAAUGUUAGAUUAUUUGUGUGAAGAGUAGCGAAAGCAUUACCACUGAGUAGUAUCAAAGUUGUAAGCGGACUUCUAUAUGUGCAAACCUGUGGUAAUUGAACUAAUGUGCAACAGCCUCUCCACCCUAGUUCUCCACAAAAUGUUUGAUCUUCUUUGUCAAUCGUGCCUUUCAAUAAUCGAAAUAAUCUAGUAAACCUAUGUACACCCAUAACAAUACUGACUAGCUAGGGUGAAUAAUGAGUGGACUGUGCAGUAAAGAAAACACACGAACAUAUAUAACAGCUUUCCAUUAUGGAAGAGAUAACUAAAUUGUUCAGAAGCUUCAGGCAAUAAUGAAUAGCAAGUAAUUAGUAAUACUCUGCAAGAUUCAGGCAAUGAAUUAGUGUUGAAAGUGAAAAUAUAAGAGAGAAAUGACUAAAAAUUGUUAAAAAGCUUUAGACAGUCUAUAACGAAAGCAAGAACCGUCGGCCCACCAUACCUCAUGGCCUUGGACUCCGCCUCCUCGACUUGGAUUUAAACUGUGAACAGAGAACCAUCGACUAGGGACAUCUUGAUGUUCCCUGUUUUACAAAGUUGAACAUCACAUGGAGAUAAUAUUAAGAAUAGACAAGUUUCGUACAAACUUCACAAAAAAUGGAAUCAGCAUGUGGACAUUUAACACUGGCAACAUUAAGAACUUGAGUUGCAGCAAGAAUUUUCUGUAACGGGUCAAAAGGACUAGAGAACCACCUUCAAAACAUUCCAGGCAUCUUCCCUUGCUUUUCAAGAUUCAACCAGCGGUGACAUGAUGGAUUGAAUCGGGAAGGAAAUAGAAGGGGCUGAACUUCCAUUGUUGGAAUUGGGCUUUUGUGUCCGCCACAGAGUUGGGGCGUACUUGAAGCUCCCUACGGCUACCCGAGGAUAAGUUCAAAAUCUUGGUAUGGAAAAGUUUGCCUGCAUCCGGUUUCCAAAAUGACAGAUCCGAGCAACAUCUACUACCAGUGUACUGAGGAACAGUCACCACACUCACCGGCGGGGUAGAGGCAGCCGUGGUGGGAAGCCUGCCCGUGCUCGUCAGCUUGAGGGCCGUGGAGAAGAGGAGCGUGCCGCCGUGUGGUGGGGGGCUGGCCCUGAGAUGGCAAAGGAGCCAAGAAGCAUCGUUUCCUCUCGCCCUUACCGUCACUGUGCUCCCAUCAAGAUGGAUAUGACACUCAGUUCUCGUUGCAAGAUCUGGUGCUGGAGAUGAAGGCGGAGGCGACCUUGACAUGGAGGAGAGGUUGGACACGGGUGGAUGGAUCGGUCGAUAGAGGAGGGGGUCGGAGGUGGUGGUGGUGGGGAUGAGGGCUAGGCCUGGGAGAAGGGAUGUCCAAGGGUGGAUGGAGCGCUUGAGGGAGGAGGGGGUCGGCGGCGGCGUUGGCUUGGUACUAGAAGGGAUCGAUUUGGGGAAGAAGUUUUAUUUUGGGAGGGCAGGGGCCGGUGGGGUGGGGAAGAACCUAGCAAUUCAACUUCUCCCGACAAUUCACCUGUGAGUAAGUGUUUCUACCGGCAGUAUCACGAUUCCCGGAAGAUAGUUUGCCCCUGAUCAUGUAUUUUUCCCUGUAGUUAAUUGCCCGAAAUUAAGAGUUGUGGUGUAGUGUCAGUUCCAUCAAGGUUGAUGAUCUCUGAAUCAUGGGUUAUUGGAUACUCAGGCAUAGGCCAACUCAGGCAUAGGCCAAUCGUGCGACUCACCGAAGCCUUGGACAUGCUUGCAGGUUGCUAGCUCAACAAAGAAUAUUUUAUGCAUCUCGUUGUGAUUCUAGAUGGGUGUGUUGAGGACGCGCCGGUGUCCUUCGAGUGAGCUUAAGAAACCCAAGAACAUUAGUAGUUGUGAUUGGCAUUGUAUAUAGGAUUAAACAGAUGGUUUAAGAGCUAACCGCGGUGUGGAUUUGGUAGUGCGCUGCCUACAAAAGGAUCGCGCAGGUCUCUUGACCCCAUGAUGCAUCGCUCGGGUCUUAGAGCUUCGACGCUAUGAUCCACCUCGAUCUUCACUUCCUGAUGUGGUUUUAUACCUGGGUCGAGGUGACCUCCUGCCCACUAAACUCGAACACCUGCUUUGCAACAUCGUUCAAGUGCACAUACUUGAAGCAUUGUCAAUCCACACCCAACAGGUUAUGAUUUCACACAUCUUAUUAAUCAUGGAUGUCAACACGAACGACUGCCAUGUCAUGGACCUCCACAACCUCCUCUUUUCCUUCGUGUCUACCUUUUGAGUAGAAGCGUGAAGGGGCAGCAUUGGGCUGAGCCAACACAAAUGGUGAAAUUGUAGAAGACCCCUCAAAAGGAUCCGAAUUAGGAAACAUCGAGUCAUUGGUGGGAGUCUGGGAGUCCUCGACAUAGGGCACCACAAACUAGCUCUCGGACACGAGAAGGGCCUGACUAAGUUCUUGCUUUCUCAUCGACGGUAGGAACGAACACUAAACAUGGACAAUAUGGAAGAACACUACAUGUGGAGAUUAUGAACGAGCACAACACGUGUGGAGACGAAUGAUCUAGUUCAACACAUCAGCUCAAAUCAUGACAAGAGUUCAAACAAUUAUGAAACAUGCUUGCAUACUAGCAUAUUAAACAUCAAGCAUACUACCAAUCCAUCAUGAUUAGCUAUCAAUCCUGGCCGACAUGGAAAAACCUCCUAGCAUGUUACAUCACUACUAGCUACCAAACCAUCACAUGCACAUCGAUUGAUGAUGUACAGUGCUACAAGAAGGUCACAAAUCUAACCAUACCACAUACUCAUGGAUCUAACCAGAAUGAGUAUAGAGAAGGAGGUGAUUAAACUCAUAGGCUCGAUCGAAGCAAGGUGAAGGAGACAUGAAACACGUCGGAGAAGAGAAGGACUCAAAUCGCCACGCCGUCAACCACUGGCUCGAGUACGAGCGUUGAUUACCUAGUCGACAAUGUCGAUCCACGCCUGAGGGAAAGCUCGAGGGGGGUGGGGAAUGGUGGCGGGAGUUUUGGUGGACUGGUGAGGCUGGUUAUAUAGGGUGAUCGAUUCAUAGGCAGGUGACAUCAAUUCCUCCUUCCACUUUCUAGGAGACGUGUACGAGCUCGCGCCAUCUUCGUCGAUGCAGAAGUUUAGGUUCGCAUUUCCCUCCCUUGCAUCGCUCGAGCCUGGCUCGGUGUCAACGGCUGAAUCGGACGUUCCUAGCGGGCCUAGCUGGGAGGUGCUUUAAGUUUCGUGCUAUGAAAUAAUCUCAUGCAGCCCAACAAACCAAAGGACCCAUUUUAUUUCCGUGUGGGCUUGGCUGGGCUUGGUGCGGGCUACCAAACGCGUCAAUGGUGCUUCAUACACUUGUAGCACAAGUUGUUUUAUUCUCCUUUGUUGGUGCAACUGUAUGUGUAGAUCCAGAUGUAGUCAAACUGAGAUCUUGGGCUUGUGUCAAUAUUUUUUUUAGAAAAGGAGGUUAAGACCCCCGGCCACUGCAUCAAUCGAUGCAUACAACCAUCUUUAUUACUUAUCCAACAAAGGUCUGACAAGAACAUACAUCAAGCCACCCGAAACCCCGACUCACACCUACAAAACGCCAUAAUGUGGAGUGCUCUCACUCCCCGUAUCUAAAACCGGUGUCGUCGCCGAUCCAUCCACAUAACGUACCGAAACUAAGAGCCGGAGCAGCAGACCUAAAGUGUACACCACAUGCACAUGUUUUAGAAGCCGCCAUCAUCAUCAAACCGCUGACCCAUCUUCAGGAGAGAAAUCCGCAUCAUCCUUGCCAGUCCGACCAUCCGUCGACGCCACCACGGCGUCCAACGGCACCACCUCCCUGCGUCCGUCCAUCCAGACGCGAAGACUCUAUAAGAUAUGUCGUGCGUAGCACCUGUCGAACAGGCAUGACAAAACGUAGCACCUGUCGGCCAGGCAUGACCUGACAUCACCACCGAAGCUCCGUGCAGGACGAAGACGCUCCACCUCCUGCCUGUGUAUUCCAGCGCUGCUCCACAAACGAUGCUCCCUAGAGAGGAAGGACACCGCAAUGCCUCCAUCGUCCGAUUUGGAGUUUCCCCUGGAGGAGCACGAGUGGAUCGACAGUAGUUACAAGACGAAGCCUUCAUCAAGGUAACAGCGCAGAAUGCCGCCAUCGUCCAUCGUCGGCUCGGUUUUCACCAACAACUAUGUCUCCCCGACUCACAGCGAGUACCGGAUCCUGCGACGAGCCCGGUCACGGGAUCCCAAUAUCCGCCGUCACCAAUGCCGUCACAAAGACCCACCACCUGGCCCGUCAUCCCCGGCGGAGGGGACGCCGCCACCACCAUGGUUGGAUCCGGGUUAUCCAUCGCCGUCGCCACCGCCAAGACCGGAUCCGCGCUGAACGUCGCCGCUGCCACCGCCAUCGGUCACGCCCAGCCCCACCUUCAUCUUCUAGCCACGUUCAGCCGACCGGCAUGCCACGCCCAGCAAAUCUCCACCCGCGCCGCCACGCGCCGUCGCCGAGAGCUGCUGCGCCGCCGUGCCUUGGAUCCGCAUGACGCCGUCGCCGAAGCCGCCGUCCCGAACCGCACGACAUCGAACGAGGAGAAGGGAAAUCCCCGCCGCCGGCUACGCUGACCAGAUCGGUGGUGGCGAGGGAGGGAGCUGGAGCUGGAGCUGGGGUACGCCUCUAGAUUCGCUUGUGUCAAUAACUACCCUGCGCGUAUUUUUAAAGUUAAAAUAAACUGUUAUAAACGCUCCUAAAAUGGUUGUUUAUGUAAAUCACACAAUUCACAAUUAAUGUCUAAUGCAUCGGUUGUCGACUAUCUUCAUCAUAUGUUGUGAUUAAAUUUUUGUUACAGCCGUGCACGCCCCACAUCACAAAAUCAUGGUAUUGCUUCGCUGGUAUACUCUUUACAGAACUUCAAUGCAUGUUUUUCAUCCCAGCUCUUAAAGAGUCCCAACACCUUAUCCAUAAGCAUGGAUAGGUAUCAUCCACCAUCAUUAUCUUCAUUUAUUCAUCUUACUUUUCAUGAAUACAUCACUCGUACAUCUACCAUACAAGCUAGUCUUAAGAGAUGAUACAAACUUUCACACCACCCUGCAUAUACAAAUACUUUCACCUCCAAAGCAGCUAUAGAUGGAUUUUCUUAGUUUUCACCCAAAUACCAGCAACACCUCUUCCUCGCUCACUUGGAUUCCCGUACAUUAAUGGGCAUAAGAGGCAUCAGGAAGCUCUCAAAAGUUGUGGUCGAUUAUGUAUCCUCCAAUCUUUCUAGCCCUAUAUAGUGAUCUUAUCUGAAUCAGACACCAUCCCGACAACAUCGAGGAGGAGCAAGUGCACUUAAAACCACCCAAGAAUCCAUCUGACGGUGGGAAGCACAUGACGCACCGAGGCAGACAAGGUAUACCAUGAUGAGGACCAGAAAGACAGAAAACGGAGCGAUCAUCACCACCUUCCCCAUACGUAAUCACUACGGUGGCUUCCCAGCUAAUUCCGUGGUUAGACCAAGUAGGAAGCCAAACAAUUUUGAACUGUGUGAGUGUUCACAUAUGACGGGACUCGAGACUAUUUAUUUACUCCAACCUUCAAUGAUUUAUUCAAGGCAAUUUGUGGCAAAUUACUCCCGCCGCAGCAGAAAAUACUGAAAUGUUAAGAGUUAAAUACUAGCAAUGUGUCACGGACAUAUUGGCCCACCCUUUAGCAUCAGAGAUAUUGUUCAUAUUAGAUACAGAUUGACACAAUCACAUCAAACUGUAACGUAACUAAACAUGUACCUGAACUAUUUCGGUGAUCAAAAUAUUAGUGGGCUCUUCGUACAAAACUCAGCCCUUGAUUUGUGGAUACUCUAAACUACAGAAGGUUCUCAAGUUAUCUCAUCGUGCUGCAUAGCAGUCAUAGUUGUAGUUGUUGCCUGCCACAUUGACACAGAGGAAUACUAGUUUACAACACCAACAUGUACCACCCGUGAACAGUAGGGGUGGGCGUUUCGGUUUCUAUUCGAAUUCGGUUUACAAAACUAAAAACCGAAAAUGCCAACAUAAAAAAGAAAACCAAAAAUUCGGUUAACUGAUUAAUUCGGUGUGGUAUUCGGUUAAUACGGAAUGCCCCUGGACGCUACUAAUUAUGGUCAGAGCACCCUCUUAUAUAUAUAGCCUCAAGUCUCCACCUUUUCUCAUCAGCCAGCCGAUGUGGGACUAAAGUCUUCCUGCUAGACGCUCGCGCGCCCCCUGCUUUUUCUAUCGAAGAGUGACACGGUCACACAAAUAUAUUCAUGCUAGAGGCAAACAAACCAAUGUCACACAAAAUCUAUCGCGUUUAUAUUUUGUAAGCCGCAGUCAGGAUUGUUUCAGUUGGUGACAACACCUACAUUAUAAAAAUAUCGUUUUAGUUGUUGGAGCUCAUGUGAAGCGUUGAUCUAUGAUCUACCAUCACCCGACUAAUUUAGAGCAUUAACAGCUAGACAUAGCAAAUAUGACCCCAUAAACGUCCGCGGACGCCUCCGAUCAGUGAUCGCGCGUAUCCCCUAUUUGUUCGUCCGUGCAGCCGUCCUCCUCAUUUUUUUCUCAUAUGUACGAUCACUUGCACAUGAUUCGUGGAGAGGAAGAAAGAGAAAGAAAAGAAUGAACAAAGAUGAUUCUCUGCUUUUCUUUCAUGCAACUAGAGAUUAUGCUAUGAUUGUCAAGGAUGUUUUUAGCACUUAUGCUUCAGCUACGGGUCAACUCCUAAACUCCUCGAAGUGUUCCAUCCUCUUUGCUGACAAUUGUCCCAGUCAAGUUGUUGAUGAGGUAAAACAUAUACUGGGCAUGACGCAACAACAAUUUGAACCUAAGUACAUGGGGCUCCCGGUUUCAGAAGGACGAAUGCAUAAAGGUCGUUUUGAGUAUUUGCAUUUCAGAUUGUGCAACCGUUUGGUUGAAUGGAGUAACUUCACUUUCAUUGAUCAUUAACAUGGAGUAUUUAUACAUGAUGUCCCGACUGUUCGGGAUGUCGGUUUACAGAAAAGGCGUCUGUAUAAGGCGUCGGUUUGUGGAGAGGCACCUGUUCGGAGUGAACAGGCGUCUAUACAGAAAAAGAUGCUUUGGGCACUAGUAACUGCUCGUGGCAGUUAGAUCUAAUCCUAACAAAUACGAACUCGACACACGAGUGUUUCUGGUGACAAACACCUCGCCGCAGAAACCGCGUUGUUUUUUUCUCUUUGUAUUCAUGACACACACACAAACAAGAGACUACAUGGAGACUAACUCGGCAAACACAGUGACUACAUGGAGACUCACUCCUCCUCAAGAUGAGCGCACACACGCACCUGGAGACCACAUCUCUCCUCAGGCCCCACGCUGUACACGAAUUAGCCUAACCGCAUGCACGUUUGAGCAACUACUCCCUCGAAUCUCUUCACGAUCAGCAAGACUCGGCUGUGCAGCUAACAAGCAUGCAUGCAGCAGCACAACGGAUCGGCCGCCACUCACGCACGAACGUGACUCGGCCAGCUCGCUGUACGACGCCUUCGUCAAGAUUAGCGAUCCUGAACACAAAUUCAUGGCAAGCAUUAUGGCUCCUCGACAUGUCACUUUCCUUACUUUUCACUUUCUGUUAGACUUUUAAAUUCUGUGAUGUUUGUUGUAAUCAGGUUGUGUCCUAAGCCUUUGUGUUCCAACUGGCACUAACCCUAGCCACCUGCUUCCUCAAACUGGAAUGAAUCAUCUCCCCAAGUUUGCUAAAUUCAAGUGAUUUUACUGAAUUUUCUCUGAUGAAAACAGACAUCUUGGCUAGGUCCUGUUAGCAUCUUGGCGAACUUACAGUAAAGAUUUAGGGGACUAAAUAUAACAUUUUUCACUUAUGUUUGCAAUAUGCAGUGUGAAAAGACAAGGGACUAUCUAAUUUACAUCGAAAAAUACCAAUCAAACGGGACGGGAAGAUGAAUCGGUGAUCGCUAUCACCUCACCUCCAUGCACGAGGCGACUAGCGGGGCGCCUCCUGUGGAGGCUCGCGAGGCGACCGGAGUACCGGCAUCUAGCGAGGCGAUCGGAGGACCGGCGUCUCGCGUCCAGGGUUCUGAGUUCGACGAUGAGAUCCAGGAGAUCUUUCCACGGGUGUCUACUGCUAGUGGCGGGGUCGAGUGCUGUUUUGCCAGCGGCAAGCUUGGUCAGAUCCGCGGUGGGUCUCGGACAGAUCAUCCUCAUCGCCGGUGGGAGGUUCUCUUCCGAGAUUCGUCCACAGAUUCUCUAGAAGACAGGCAAGGGUUCAUUAUUCUACACUUAGAGUCUAUGUGGGCUACCAUUAGAGAUGAAGAAGGAGACAUUCUGGCGGGGCGGUAUCUCCAAAAGGAAGAAUUCCCCAAGGCGGGACAGAUCCUUAUCAUCGAUGGUUACCGUUUGUUAGUGCAGGAGCAGUCGAAGAUAGGGGCCCAGAUCAAGGAUUCGGUAAGUGUUCCUUCGCAUCCUAUUCGUUUCGGUGGUAGGUUUUGGGUUCUUGCCGACCAGGAUGAAGAGCUGGAUGAGGAGCUGGGGGAAGGUGACGUGCUGGCGGAGGUGUCGCCGAUAUCCCCGUAUACCCCUUCUUCGACCACGGCGAUGCUACAAGAGCGCAAGGUCCGACGAGACCCCAUCCUUGCGAGGAAGAAAACGGAGGCGUCUUCUCGGAAGCCGUGGAUUGGGCCGAUUCCAAAGGUAAGCCGACGGCCUAUCUCCCUUGUUGAUUUCUUCAAGCCAGACUGCUGGAUCAAAUGCACGAAGAACAAACCAAAGGCAACCACCGUUCUUCGGCCGACAGAGCCGCCGGUGAUCGCGGAAUACACGAGUGAUUCCAGGGCGAUAGUUACGGAGUCCCUGUGGGAUUCAAAGGAAAAGUUUUUGAAUGCUGCAAUGACGGCUGUUGGGCCUGAUGCGCUAGCAAACUACGACGGGCUCUUUUCUGCCUAAAGCUGGGUAUACGGCCCAUGAUUUAAUAUGUUUACAGCCACAAUCCGACCUGGACUCGAUGACUCUUGGGUAUAUCGAUCCGGAAGUACCAGUCCGGAUCGAUGCGUCUUCUACUGCGACCGAGCCUGGCUUAGAUACAUCGUCGCUCCUUCUCGAUCGUCAGGUUCCUCCACAGUCGCCAGAAGCUAGGUUUCGACAGCAAGAACCUAGGGUUCGUCCAAAGCCUGGCUUCCCAAGGUUAGGGACUGGGAGGGCAGCUAGGGUGCCGCAUCAUACUGCUUCGGCGUGGCUAGCCAUGGCGGGGCGUGGCUCCAAGUAUACUGCUACCAGUCGGCAUCCGGGGCAACAGUUGGGCUAGGGGAACCCACCCGUCGCUAAGACUACGGUGGCGUCCCCCGCGCAGGCCGGGUCCUCCCAGGCUGUUGCACCCGCCGGGAAGCCGCCCAGUGGUGCAUCUGGGCAGGCAAAGGAGUCCACCCAGGCGAACCGAUCACAUCGCGGCCGCUGGGGCGAUGACGGUGGUUACGGCUAUGGUGAUGGGCACUAUCGUGGGGGUUCAUGCAUCCUCGGGAGGCGGUCGUGGGUUUGCUUGGCAAAACAAUAUGGAGCUGCUUUUAAUGCACCUCCGGGCCAGUUUAUCCCGGGGCCUUCUGGACCUUCGUAUCCGAAGAGAGGAGGAUUUAGGCAGAAUUGGAUUGGCAGAGGGGGCGGGAGGAAGCCUAGACCUCUUGUUCCUACUCCUGAGCAGCCUGCUGAUCUCAAUGAUUCUGCCAUGGUGUCUAUGGCGGAAACAGCUAAGGAGGUAGCUGCUCCGCCUCCGGCUGAUCAGACCUUGGUGAGUGCCAAGGGUGACGGGGCAGAGAGACCCUCUAAGUGGGCUCGAAAGAAAAAGAAAAUGAUGUGCUAUCGGUGCAGUGAGACAGGGCAUUUUGUCUCUGAGUGUAAGGCCGAGCUUUGCAUGUAUUGCUUGAAGCCUACACAUGGUGCUGUUAAGUGCCCUCUUACGAUUGGGCCUAUGCCAGUCGUGACUAUCUAUGGUGUUUCUAGCCAAGAUUUGAUGUUUUUUGAGUCACCAGCCGCUACGGCUAAUGUUCAUGCUCCUGAUGCUGGCCUCAUGGGUACAGUGACGGUGACUCAUGGGGUGCUGACUGUGGAGCAGAUAGUGCAGCAACUUAAGGAGCUUGUUUCCAAUACCUUCAGAUGGGAACCUGUUUUGAUAGAUGAUAAUGUUUUCAAGGUUGUUUUCCCUACUAAGGAGGAUCUAGCUCGAUUGCUUAAGUUCGGUAUGUGCAGGGUUGCUAGCACGAGUAUUGUUCUUGAGUUUGAUGCCUGGAAGUGUGAAGAGCCUAAGGGGAGGCCUCUACCCCAGAUUUGGGUGCACUUUGCAGGAGCUCCUUCUAGAGCGACUAAUGAUUUUCAGGUUGCAUGGAAUCUGGGAUCGCUCAUUGGUAAAACUGAGGAGGUGGACAUGGUCUACACUAGAGCCAAAGGAGUUGCGAGAAUGUUGGUUAGUGUUCUUGAUAUUGAGCUUGUUCCAGAUGAGGUAAUUUGGACCUUUGAGGGGUUGCGGUAUACUCUCCAGCUGGAAAUCGAAAGCCCAACACUGUUUGAUGUACCUGACACAGAUAAAGAUACCCCCAUGACUGAUGGUGAUGAUGCGAGUGGCUCCAAAGAUAAUGCAGAGGGGUCCAAGGACACAGGUCCGACCGAAUACCCUAACCAGACAACUAGCUCGCAGCAAAAUCAGCCUAAUCUUACCUCAGGUACUGGCCCAAACAAGUUGGUUUCUGCUAUGCACCAGGAUUUACGAUUUGGCUCUUUUAAACCUGCAACCGCGCCGACAAAGUUGGGUUCUCGGGCGGGGUGCCAUGAGACUCUAGUUCGGCCUAGAAUGCCACACUUUUUGGGAAAGAAUCCUCGGUGCAACAAAGAAAGAGUGCAGUCUCAAUCUAUGUUGCAACCACUGUCUCUGGAGGAGUAUAUGGCGGGAGCAAAGGCAGCGAAUACUCAGCUUGGUUCGAUUGUUGCACCAGCGGAUGUACAGCCAGCUUUUAAUAGCAUGGGAGGAGUUACAGCGGAUGGGCUGGGUCACGGCGAACCUACUGGCCAGCUGGUCGUUCUACCCCAAGUUCCGUUCCUGCAUGGGGGCGCUGAUGAGGCCCCGGUUACGUGCAUGCAUGCUCACGCGGCUACGCAGGGCACGCAUGAGGAUGUUAGCGUUGGGGGUGGCAGCGACUCUACCGCACCACGACAUGAUGGUGCUCUUCUCCCUGUUCCAGCGGCUGCAGCGGCGGCUUGCGUCGGCACGCUGGCCAGCGCAGGAGGUGCCCAGCCGGGUUCCACCCUUUGUGCUGCUCAACCCGACGACAUUUCUGAGGUGGUUGCCGUCUCUAUGGAGGGUCCAGUUUGUAUGCCCAUGGCAGGUACGAAAUAUGUACCUACUACUGUUGCACCAGAGUAUGGACCGAUCUCGGUCGAUGAUGUCAUAGCAUUCGGAGGUGUUCCCAAUCCGAUGGGUCCGGAUAGACGAGCUAGUCAACGGGUACAGUCUCAGCCAGAUGUGGAUGACCUGCAGAUUGGACGGGCGAUGCAUGUGGCCAAAAUGAAGGAGGUUCAGAAUUCAACAGGUAUGAAUUUUAAUACUGAACAUUCUAUUCUUCAUUUUACACUACAAGAGAUUUUAGAUAAUGCUACGGCAGUGGGGGUGACUUUGGGUGAGACUAGGCAACAAGUUUCAAAAUCUAUCAAUGACUUAUUAGACUUAGAAGUUGAUAGGGCUUUGGAUAUUAUUCGAAACUUAGCGGCGGUUCGUCCUAUGAAUGAUAAGGAGAUAUCUGAUAUGGGGGGAUUGAAUUUGCUAUGUGAAAACUUAGUCCCAGAGGAGGAGUUUAAACAGUCGCAAGUAGCUUUCGAUGAUUCGAACAUAUCUACUACUCAUCUUAAUGAUUCGGCCAAAGAUAUUCAUGGUUAUAUGGACCAGGAGUAUGCUUCGGAUAAGCCUAAGCGCAAUUCGAAACGAAGAGUUUAUCCAGUUUCUGCUGUUCGUAGGAGUGCUAGAUUCAGGACUGCUAAACUUUUUUUAUGAUGAAAUAUGAGAGGACUUUUUUGGAAUAGCAGAGGUCUCAGAGACUUGGCUAAAAUUAGGUUCCUUGCAGAAUCAACGUUACAACAUAGUCUUGACUUCAUCGCGUUGAUGGAGACGGGGCGGGAAAACUUCACAUCGCAUUUUCUUAACUCCCUUUCCAGAGGAGUGGAAUUUGAAUGGCAUUGUCUCCCUCCAAGUGGAAGGUCCGGAGGGAUCUUACUUGGGGUCCGAUGCAAUACACUUCAAGUGCGAGAAGUAAUAUUAGGAGACUUCACGGUAAAAUUUAGAAUUAGAAACAAGGAAGAUGGGUUUCAGUGGGCUCUAGUAGCAGUCUAUGGUGUCGCUCAAACUGAGCACAAGCCAGCUUUCUUGGCUAAUCUGGUUAGAAUUUGCGAUGAAAAUCUACCACUAGUGGUGGGUGGUGAUUUCAAUAUCAUCAGGCGAGCUGAUGAGAAAAGCAAUGAUAAUUUUGAUGGUAGAUAGCCCUUUAUGUUUAAUACGAUCUUAGAGAGUCUGAAUCUACGGGAGACUGAACUCUCCGGUAGGAAAUAUACUUGGGCCAAUUCUCUACAUAACCAGACGUUUGAAAAAUUGGAUAGAGUACUAACUAGUGUUGACUGGGAGCAGAAGUUCCCUUUAGUCACAGUUUGUGCUAUGCAGAGGGCUAUAUCUGACCAUACCCCGCUAUUGUUAGAUUCUGGAAAUGCCACUCACAAAGGAAAAAAAGAUGCCUUCUCCUUUGAGUCCAGUUGGUUCACCCGUGAGGGAUUUUUGGACAUUAUUGCUAGAGAAUGGAGCAAACAUAUGGAUGGGACAUCUAGUGUCGACAUCUGGCAAAACAAGAUCCGACACCUUAGACAAUUCUUGAGAGGUUGGGCUAAGAAUGUGUCCGGACAGUAUAAAGAUGAGCAAGACCGAUUGCUUCACUUUAUAGAUGCCCUGGAUCGUAAGGCUGAGACCGGCAUGUUGGAUGAACAUGAAAGGUCGUCAAAGUAUGAGGCCGAAUAGAGGGUGCGAGUUCUCCUCAGGGAAGAGGAAAUGAAAUGGGUUGUCAGAGCCAAGGUUAGGGCAAUUGUCCAGGGGGACAACAACACAAAGUUUUUCCACUUGAUUGCAAAUGGCAAACAUAGGAAAAAUAAAAUCGUACAACUGGAGCAAGACGAGGGUACCAUAGUAGGGCAUGAGAACCUUAAACUUUAUAUCACAAAUUACUAUAAACGGUUGUUUGGUGCUCCAGAACAUAGCUUUGUGUCUAUGGACGAGCAUCAGACUGCGGACAUUCCUCAAGUUGGACAAGCCGACAAUGAGAGUCUCUCCGCACCAUUUCUAGAGAAAGAGGUGUUACAGGAAAUUGAGGGUAUGAAAAAUGGUAAAGCUCCUGGUCCAGACGGUUUUCCAGCUGAGUUUUAUAAACGUUGUUGGCAUAUUAUUAAGGCGGAUCUUAUGUCUAUGUUCCAUGAUUUGUAUUCUGGUCACCUUCAACUCUUUCAUCUUAAUUUCGGUACGAUUACGCUAUUACCGAAGAAAGAGGGUGCCUCCAGAAUUGAACAAUUUCGUCCUAUAUGUCGGCUCAAUGUGAGCUUUAAAAUUUUCACAAAGGUGGCAACGGAUAGGCUAACCAAGAUGGCACAUUCGGUCGUGCAAUCUUCGCAGACAACUUUUAUGCCUGGUAGGAAUAUUCUUGAAGGGGUUGUCGUACUACAUGAGAUCCUUCAUGAACUACACUCCAAGAAACUCAAUGGAGUUUUAUUUAAGGUUGAUUUCGAAAAGGCAUACGACAAAGUUAAAUGGUCUUUCCUGCAACAAACUCUAUGUAUGAAAGGGUUUGGCGACAUUUGGAGAAAGCAUGUAGAUUGUUUUAUAAAAAAAGGAAGUGUCGGUGUUAAAGUAAAUGAUGACGUCAGUCAUUUCUUUCAGACGCUUAAGGGACUUAGGCAAGGAGAUCCUAUGUCACCUAUUUUAUUUAACAUUGUUGCGGAUAUGUUGGCGCUAAUGAUCAGGAGGGCUAAUGACAAAAACUUAGUAGGGGGACUAGUACCUCAUCUAGUUGAUGGGGGUGUCUCGAUCUUACAAUAUGCGGGCGACACAAUCCUUUUCAUGGAACGUGAUCUCAAAAAGGCCAGAAACUUGAAACUCAUAUUAUGCUUAUUUGAACAGCUAUCUGGGUUGAAGAUUAAUUUUCACAAAAGUGAGCUUUUCUGCUUUGGGGAUGCACAAGCUGAACAACUCACGUAUUAUCAACUUUUUGGUUGUGAGGGUGGUAGGUUACCGUUCUCAUAUUUAGGAAUCCCCAUUCAUCACCGAAAGUUGACCAUCAAGGAGUGGAGAUGUAUCGAGGAUCGUUCUGAGAAAAAACUAAGCUGCUGGAAGGGCAAGCUAUUAUCCUACGGAGGACGAUUAGUUCUUGUCAACUCAGUGUUGACAAGUAUGCCAAUGUUUCUCCUAUCCUUUUUCCAAGUGCCUGUUGGGGUGCGGAAAAGGUUGGAUUUCUAUCGAUCUCGAUUUUUCUGGCAGAGCGACGAGGUCAAGACUAAAUAUAGACUUGCUAGAUGGGACAUUAUUUGUAGACCCAAGGAUCAGGGAGGUUUGGGGAUUGAAAAUCUAGAGGUCAAGAACAGAUGUCUGCUUAGCAAGUGGUUAUUCAGAUUGUCUGUCGAAUCGCAAGGGAUGUGGGUACAAAUUCUAAAUAACAAGUAUCUACAGCACAAAACCUUAGCCCAGGUCACUGCGCGACCGGGUGAUUCCCCUUCUUGAAAGGGUCUAAUGAGGACAAAGGCCGCUUUCUUUCACAGAACUAGAUUCGUCAUUGAAAAUGGUGAAAGUACUAGAUUCUGGGAAGAUACUUGGUUAGGAGCGCAACCUUUGGCUCUACAGUAUCCGCAACUCUAUAAUAUUGCACAACGAAAACAGACUUCCGUUGCGGCAGUGUUACGACAGACUCCUCUUAACAUUCAAUUUCGCAGAGCCUUGAUCGGAAAUAGAUGGGUUAGUUGGUUACAUCUAGUCAGAAGACUAAUGGAUAUUUCCUUGUCUGACUUUCCAGAUAGUAUUCGUUGGAGGUUGACCACCAAUGGUACUUUAUGAGUGAAAUCGAUGUAUGACCAUAUUAUUGAUACGUCGCCUAUUCCAAAGUCCAUGCAUAUUUGGAAGGUCAAGAUUCCCCUUAAGAUAAAAAUCUUCAUGUGGUUUGUUCACAAAGCAAUUGUUUUAACUAAGGAUAACUUGGCUAAAAGACACUGGAAAGGUAAUAAAAGAUGUAGCUUCUGUCAGACGCAUGAGACGAUUAAACACCUCUUUCUGGACUGCCCUAUGGCUAAAUUAUUAUGGCGCUCAAUACAAAUUUCAUUCAACAUUACCCCGCCUACUAGCAUUCACAUGUUAUUUGGGACGUGGCUAUACGGGGUUAAUGUACUUUACGCCAAACUAAUUCGGGUUGGAACUUGUGCCAUGUUGUGGGCGAUAUGGAAUUGCAGAGAUGAUCUAGUUUUUAACAUAAUGCAUUACAUUAACUUUUUGCAGGUCAUCUUCAGGGCUACCGCCUUGAUCCGCAUGUGGUCCUUACUCACUCCUGUGGAAACCAGGGGGCCUUUGGUUACUGGGUGUGUCCGAUGGAAGAUGGUAGCUCAGAUUAUCUUCAAUCGAUAUGGAUGACGGCAUGCUAAUAGGAUUGGACCUUAGUCCACUAUAUCCGAGGGUUAUAGUCGGUUUUGGCGUUCUGAACGCCGUGUAACUCUUUCUUUUUCUCUUGUUUUUUGAAUUCUCGGACUCCUUUGUAUUUUAUUCAAAUUAUUUCUUUCGUAAUAAAAUGGUUGUAUGCAUCACUCGAUGCAGAGGCCGGGGCAACGCCUCUUUUUCAAAAAAAAACUUAUUUGUACUAAAGUUUAUAAUUUGCACCCAAGUAAUGGGUGUUUUAGAAGCACCUACUUUUGUCUAGAAGGUACGGAGUACUAAAUAAAACCUUGGCUACAUGUGUACCGUUGUAGAUAUAUGUUGCUCAUUCACUUAGUUUCAAACGAUCCAAAAUCAACACCAACGAUAUGCAUAUGGGGAAUUUAACUCAAAUAUAGGGCGUUUUGUCCAAAUGAAGCAAAACUUUUUUCAUUCUCCUUUCUUGGCGCAAUAGUAUGUGCUGAUCCGGGUGUACUACAUCUGAUUGUUCUUCAUUUUUUAGUAAUUACCAUGAAAUGAUUGAUUUUACAAAAGUUGAGUUUAGAAACGAUCGUGAAAUUGGUGGUUUCUACAAAUCACUCCUUUCACAAUUCACAUCCAACACACAUCGGCUGCCGACUAUAGUCAUUGUAUGUCGUGAUCGAUUAAUAUAAUAGUUAUGCGCCACAUCAAUACUUUAUAGUAUUUGUCUACUCCCAAAUGUCGUUAUCAUUUACAAGAACUUCAACUCUAGCUAGCUAUAAGUUGAGAGAUGCAUGUUUUUCGUCUUGGCUCGUAAAGCGUCACCGACACCUUAUUCACAAGCUAGCGCAUAGCUGGUACCAUCCACCAUGAUUGCCUUAAUUUACUCAUCUUACUUUCCAUGGAGUAAUCACUCACCUAUCUACCUCUCGACCUAGUCUAAGAUAUAAUACGGACAUUUACCGACACACAUGUUACAUGUACUUCCUUCUCCAAUACCAUACCUCAUCUCAUCCUUGUUUUCUUGGUUCCCCAAGUAUUCAUGGGCAUAAGAGGUGUCGGGAAGCUCUAAAAAUCUGGUCGACAUGCUGCAUCUUCCUCCUUCUUAGCCCUAGAUAGUGAUGUCAUCAAAAUCUGCUUUUUUUUUUUAGAAAUGGAGGCGACGCCCCGGCCUCUGCAUCGAUUGAAACAAAAGAUUCCCAACAAAGAAAAAGCCAAAGACUAAAAUUACAGGGCGCUCAGACCGCCAAAAAGCUAAGAAUAACCCUCUAAUAAACUGGACUAAAGUCCAAUCCUAUUAGCAUGCCUCCAUCCAAAUCGGUUGAAGAUAACCUGAGCUACCAUCUCCCAUCGGACACACCCAGUAACCAAAGGCUCCUUGGUUUCCAUAGGAGUGAGUAAGGACCAUGUGCGGAUCGAGGCGGUAGCUCUGAAGAUGACCUGCAAAAAGUUAAUAUAAUUCAGUCUGUUAAAAGCUAGAUCAUUUCUGCAGUUCCAUAUCGCCCACAGCAUGGCACAAGUUCCAACCCGAAUUAGUUUGGCGAAAUGAACAUUAACCCCAUUUAGCCACGUCCCAAAUAACAUGUGAAUGCUAGUAGGUGGUUCAAUGUUGAAAGAAAUUUGUAGUGAGCGCCAUAAUAGUUUGGCCAUAGGGCAUUCCAAGAAGAGGUGUUUAAUCGUCUCAUGCGUUUGACAAAAGCUACAUCUUUUAUUCCCUUUCCAAUUCCUUUUAGUCAAGUUAUCCUUAGUUAAAAUCACUCCCUUGUGAACAAACCACAUGAAGAUUUUUAUCUUAAGGGGAACCUUGACCUUCCAUAUAUGCAUGGACUUUGAGAUAGGCAACGUAUUUAUAACAUCCUCGUACAUCGAUUUCACAGAGAAUGUACCAUUCGAGGUCAACUUCCAACGAAUAGUAUCUGGUAGAUCGGAGAGGUUAAUAUCCAUCAGUCGUCUUACUAGAUGUAACCAACUAACCCAUCUGUUUCCGAACAAUGCUCUGCGAAAUUGAAUGUUAAGAGGAAUAUGCCGUAACACUGUUGCGACUGAGGUCUGUUUUCGUUGUGCAAUGUUAUAUAAUUGCGGAUACUGUAGAGCCAAAGGUUGUGGGCCUAACCAAGUAUCCUCCCAGAAUCUAGUCUUUUCAACAUUACCAAUAAUGAAUCUAGUUCUGUUAAAGAAAGCGGUCUUUGUCCUCAUUAGACCCUUCCAAAAAGGGGAAUCACCCGGUCGCACAGUGACCUGGGCUAGGGUUUUAUGCUGCAGAUACUUGUUCUUUAGAAUUUGUACCCACAUCCCUUGCGAUUCGACAGAUAAUCUGAAUAACCACUUGCUAAGCAGACACCUGUUCUUGACCUCUAGAUUUUCAAUGCCCAAGCCUCCCUGAUCCUUGGGUCUACAAAUAAUGUCCCAUCUAGUAAGCCUAUAUUUAGUCUUGACCUCGUCGCUCUGCCAAAAAAAUCGAGAUCGAUAGAAAUCCAAUCUUUUCCUUACCCCAACAGGCACUUGGAAAAAGGAUAAGAGAAACAUCGGCAUACUUGUCAGCACUGAGUUGACAAGAACUAACCGUCCUCCGUAGGAUAAUAGCUUGCCCUUCCAGCAGCUAAGUUUUUUCUCAAAACGAUCCUCGAUACAUCUCCACUCCUUGAUGGUCAACUUGGGAUAAUGAAUAGGGAUCCCUAAAUACGAGAAUGGUAAAGUACCGCCCUGACACCCAAAAAGUUGGUAAUACUUGAGCUGUUCAGUUUGUGCCUCCCCAAAACAGAAAAGCUCACUUUUGUGAAAAUUAAUUUUCAACCCUGAUAACUGCUCAAACAAGCAAAGAAUAAGUUUCAAGUUUCUAGCCUUUUUGAAGUCAUGUUCCAUGAAAAGGAUCGUGUCAUCUGCAUAUUGUAGGAUCGAGACACCCCCCUCAACUAGAUGUGGAACUAGUCCCCCUACCAAGUCCUUGUCAUUAGCCCUCCUGAUCAUCAGCGCUAACAUAUCCGCAACUAUGUUAAAUAAAAUAGGUGACAUAGGGUCUCCUUGCCUAAGUCCCUUAAGUGUCUGAAAGAAAUGACCAACAUCAUCAUUUACUUUAACACCGACACUUCCUUUUUUUAUAAAACAAUCCACAUGCCUACGCCAAAUGUCCCCAAACCCUUUCAUUCGUAGAGUUUGUUGCAGGAAAGACCAUUUAACUUUGUCGUAUGCCUUUUCGAAAUCAACCUUAAACAGAACUCCAUUGAGUUUCUUGGAAUGUAGUUCAUGCAGAAUCUCAUGAAGGACAACCACCCCUUCAAGAAUAUUCCUACCAGGCAUAAAAGCUGUUUGCAAAGAUUGCACGACCGAAUGUGCCAUCUUAGUUAGCCUAUCCGUUCCCACCUUUGUGAAAAUUUUGAAGCUGACAUUUAGCGGGCCUCAACUACCAUCGAGAAGAAGCAGCCGCAUUGCAAACUUUGCGGCACGCAAUCCGGCAGGGCAAGGGCAACACACGUGGAGGAAUACUCCCUCUGAGUGAGGAAUACUAACUAACUACAUACUGUAAAUGGACAGAGUUGUCUCAAGUCAAUGGAGUGGACUAGAGAGCAGUAGUUGUAAAGAAGAAUUAGGUGUGCUUUCGUACCCCUAUCCACCCUCCGAGUUUCUAACUUAUAUGAAAGAUGUUCGUCGUGGAAGAAAAUUUACCCCUCACGUAAAAAGGGCAGUAUAAACGAUUUACACGUUUGAAAAUAUUCAAAUAAAACGUGGCCUUUGCCAUUAAUGGCAGCGUUAAGCUGCCCGCCGGCUCACUCCCUGCCGAGCAACUAUAAAAGACUGCUAGGACGGCCUCCCCUAAACCCACUCGCCGCCAAGCCCAUUCCCCACUCCCCUCUCUUUCCAUCGUCAAUGGCCAACCUUGGCACGAGAAGCAGCCGCGGGGGCGGCGCCGCACCCGUCGUCUCAUGACCUGCCAGCCUUAGUCAGUCGGAGAUCGAGGAGCUCUAUCGAUAUGGCAUACUAUUGUCGCCGUCAUCAAAGUUGGCAUGACCAUGGAAGAAUUUUGCACCCACCAAGAGCGCCGCCUGUUCUGGGUAAGGCGCGAUUUUUACGACGUCCUCCCCAUGUACCCUCAUGGCCAAGCACUCCUCGUAACCCUAGUGCUUCCCGCACCACCCGCUUACAUAUCCGCCCAGCCGGAGCAUGUUCCUGGCGGCUGCAGAUAAGGCGGUCAUGUUCGUGCAGCCAUCGCCACAACCAGGUAGGCAGCCGCCCCCUCUCAGGCCCCGCUCCGGCCAAAGGUGGCCAAGCUCAAGGACGAGGGCGGCCCUGAGGACUUUUGGGGGUCCGUCCACACCAUCCAUGACUCUAGUAUUGUACCCAGUUGGGUUCCACCAUUGAAGUUCAUGGACCUUGCAAACCCAGCGGAUGUGUCGGGGUCUAGGAAGGUGUUCAUGUCUCGGUGGAGGCGCUGGGAAAGUCGGUCACAUAUGUAGACAAGUUCUUCAGCUACUUCGACGACAGCAACAACUAGGACAAUGGCAACGACACGGACGAAGGAAUAGAAGAAGGUGAUGGCAGCGUCAUUUACCUCAAUGGAAGCAACGGGGAGUAGUUCUGAUGGUUUAUGUUUUCUAAAUUUUUUUGUUAUCCUUGUACACAUCCUUAGACUUGAAUGAAACUCACUUCCGAUGUGAAAUUUGAUCGUGAUGUUCUAAUUGAUUUGCAUCAUCUCUUCAUUCUUCAACAUCGAAAAUGGUUUCACAUACCAUUUAAUCAGGUGCAUAAGAUACAACUAACAUCAUAGCUCGAAGUUGCAUCACGGUUUAAAUUACAACACCAAAUUCUAUCAUCUCUUACUUCCUAGAUCAAUUUCCAUCAUCUCUUAACAGUACUUCCUAGAUCAACUUAUAUUACCACUUAGUACUACUUAGUAUAUCAAUAUCAAUUUGCAUCAUAACUUCUUCCAUCCAUCUGUAAAACAAGGCACGUUAAACGAAAUAAAACUUUAUAGUAUGAACAAAAUAUAGUUUGAACUAUUUUGAACAGAAUAUAAUUUAAAGUAUUUUGAACAGAAUGUAAUUUGAAAUAUUUGUUUUUGUAUAUGUGUAAUAAACAUAAUAUACUUUUAACUAAUUUCUCUACACCUAAAGGCUCAGGAUGUAACUUGUUGUUGGUUUUGUUUCGCUUCACCCAAGCAAGGAACGCCCCAUAGGUUUUCAUCCAGUUCACCCCCACUCCUCGAUAUCACCUUCCUUGAUACAAACCCGUCGAUCCCACCGUUACCUAAUGCACAAUAAAAAGCAAUUGAGGGAAUCAAACCCUUUCCAAACCGAACCAGUCCACAAUGAAAAGCAAUCGAGGGAAUCAUUUCCUUCCAUAAAGAACACCAAUCAAUCGAUUUGUUCUUUCCAUGUCACACCUCAAAUAACAAACAUCAAGAAUAUGAAAAUGUCACAGCCUUACACAUACAGCAGCAAUAAAAUCAACUCUUUCCAUCUCACAUCAACAAUAGGAAACUUUCAAAAUUCUUGUCUUCAGAGCACAACGGGCGAGCGCUUUUUCUCCAUGCUUGGAAGUUUCUAGAGAAGCUGGUUGGCAAGGCCUCUUUCUUUGAAGAUUUCCAUCUGACUGCGAGCCACCGGUGUCGCCGUGGCUGCGAGGCACCUGUCAGUAACCUUUGCACAUCUCCUCCGAUCAUAUUGGGAAUCAUUCUACUCUAACAACACAAACUGGAUCAAACAAUGAAGAGAUUCGAACGACUUCAUCACCUUGCUUCAUUGCAUUCAUUUGAGAAAUUCCCAGAAUCAUUUGAACAGCAAAUGGCAUUAUCUCUACUCUUAAAGGGUGAGUAUGUACGUCGUUCGCCUCCUACAUAAACCAUCGAUCAAAGGCCACUCUCCCCAGGCGAAUUUUACUCAUCGCUUGACUCCCCCGCGGUUUUUUUCAUCGUUUUUCAACUACACAUACCCAAAUAGACCAAGUGUACCUCUCCAGUGUUUCAUUGCAAGUCCACGCUUUCCUUUUUUGGCAAACAAAUCAAAGGAUGCCUAUUUUCUUCAGUAAUUCCAUAUACAACACCAAUCUUUUCAUAUACAAUAGAAAUCUCCGAUAUAACACCAGUCACUGACCCAUCAAAGUCAAUUUUUCUCCUAGGUGGGGUGGGGGUGGGGGGGCAGGCCCUGGUUCUCUGUGAUUCCAAAUCUCGUCGGUGAUUCCUGGGGCACGAACACUUAUUUUCCAACGUGGGAGGCACAUGCCAGUUACCUUAAUCAUUGUGUUCAAUACAUGUUAUCAUAGCUUGCAGUUCCUUCCGAAAAAAUAAGAAAUAUACUUGAAAUUCAUGAUCUGGUACGGGCGAAUUUGUUUUUGCUAAGAAAUGACCAAUCAAUUUCUUUGAAGCAUUUUUUCAUACAAAUAUAAGCCUCCAAUCUAAACCAUUGAGCACACAUGAUCUGCACAAAAAUAGUGGGAUAAAUUCAUGAUACUCUUUGGGAAAGAGAGCACGCAAGCAGCAGUGCAACGAGAAACAAUCAAUGAAAUUUCUACAUAAGUGGUGUAGCUACUGCUCUUCCUCUGUUUUCAGGACAUAGAGUUUAGCUCUUUUUACAUUCCUAUCGACUCACAACUAUCUUUAUCUCCAAUAUUUCACAAAAUCGGUAUCUUCCAACAUGAAGCAAUUUGUUAUGUGAUUAUUCAAUGAUAGACAUUAACUACACAAUUACUAUUGACAAUCAGAAGUGUUCUGCGCCUGAAGCUCGCGGAAUGAUUUUCAGACGAAGCUUGUUCCAGCGGCCAUGUCACACUUGCUCCUCACCAUGCAUGGUUGAAAUCCAUAACAUUGGAACAAUGUCGUCCGUAUAGCAGUGCUCAUUGAGAGUUUAUAGUGAGAGGAGUGUUUGAUAUAUUGGAAACCAUGAACUAAGGUCAAUGAUCUAAAAAGAAACCACUUUCCCCCACGCCCGCGUCGCUCCUGUGGCGGCUCAAGCAAAACCCUAGCCCACCGCCGCCACCGCCGGAAGAUACCGGUGGGCUAAGCCUGCUCGGAGGACAGCAGCAGCGGGGAUCUCCUUCAUGUGCACACUCGUUCUAUGUUGGGGAGGCUCCACCCUCCUGAUCUGAUCUGUUUUGCUCCGACGACAAGUGUCUCCUCCAGUGCGGUUCGGCAGUGCCCCGGACAGUGUGCUCUUGUGGAUGUGCUGCCCCCCUGGCGCGCUCCACUGGAUGUGGCCUCAGGUGCUCUCGCUGAUAUUUGUCCUUUUUGCAAUCUGAUAUUUAAAUGUGAAGCUGACCACAUAACUUUUUUACUCGAAACAUCACAUGUUCAGCUCUGGCUAGGCAUUUGACUCAAACUGCACAAGCCUUUAGGAAGCACAUACUUUUUGCAUAUCCGACUUAUAAUUGCAAGUCUUUUGAUUCUUUUAAAAGCCACAUACUAUCUGUCUGUUUUGCUUCCGACUUUACUGGUUAUUGUUGUAAGCCCAAAAACCCUGCUUAUUGUUCAACACCACACUUAUGCAAAAAAACAUCGACAUUCGAGGCCAUAUGAACAAAAUAUCUACUCCUCGUAAACACAUAUGUUAUCCCCUACGCUAGCGGCUAGGGUUUCUCCACCUCUCAACGACUUCAGAUGCUACUGAGUCUCGUGCGAUCGAUUGGGGGCAAUCCUCCCCGCUAAAGAUGGCAACCACAUCUGUUGCUCAAUCGAAAACGAGUGAUCAUGUGAUGAAGCCUAGCGUUGGUGAUUUGGAUGAUUUCUUCGGUCAGCUCAAUCUAGUUGAGGAAGAGUUUGAUGAUCUAAUCAUUGAUGAGGCCAAUUCAGUGAUUAACGAACGAGUUCGCUGGCUGGCAUUGGCCAAGGUGCAUACUGAGAAGACCUUCAGCCAUGCAACUUUUUUCAAGGAGAUGAGAGCGGCAUGGAAUACGGCGCAACAAUUGAGGUUCAGACCGGUGCGUAUGAAUCUGUUUGUUGUCUAGGCGUCGUGCCCUGGGGAUUGGGAAAGUAUGAUGAAUCUAGGUCCAUGGAUUUUCAGAUUCUGGGCUGUUUUGAUGCAUCCAUACGAUGGUAUUAGUCAGACGGAAGAUAUUCAGAUCGUUCAUAUGCCAAUAUGGCUGCAGAUACAUAAGCUCCCUGAUGGCUACUCUGAUAAAGCAAUUGUGGAAAAGUUGAUAAAGACGGCUGGGAAGGUGCUGGCGGAAUGGAAAUUCCCGUGGUGACUAAAUGAGGGUUAGGGUUAAACAUGAUGUGAGAGAGCCCUUAACUAAACAUGUUAGUAUCAUCAGAGGGAAGGAACGACAAGUUUUUGCGGCGAGGUAUGAAAAACUAGCUCGUUUUUGUAAGGCUUGCGGCAAGAUUGGUCAUGAUUUUAAAUAAUGUGGUAUAGGCAUCCACUUAGCAAAUGAUAUGAAGUAUGGAGACUGGUUAUAUGUGGAUUUUUCAGCAAGGCCACGAUCUGAAACUCGGUCUGUACCUGGUUCUAAAGGGGCUGGCCCGGAAGGCAAACCAUCAAGUUUGGUAAAUAAUGCUAAUGGAGGAGAUGAUGACCUGAAAAGUAUUGCAUCUAGUCCACAGAGAAACGCAGGUAUGGAUUUGGAUAUGGAAGCACCAAAGUGUGGUGUACAACAGCAGGGGGAUAAGAUCAUACAUAAGCGCCCAGCCUUGGAUAUUGAGAAUGUGGUGCCAGCCGCUGGGCUAGUUCCGAUGGUACAUGCAAUUACUAAUGGCUCUAGCAAGGAUCUAGACACCUUUGCAACGUCUAGUUGAGCAGCAAAAGGGCAAAUAUGGAGAAGAAUAAGAACUGUGAUAUGCAUGGAUCGGCGGGCUCCCCUGAGGAGUGCCGUCGGGAACAAUGAAUCUUUUAUUUUGGAACAGCCGGUGGGUGGGGAACCGCCGAACAGUUCGAGAGGUUUUGGCCCUCGCAAAGGCCAAUUACCCAAAGCUUGUCUUUCUAAGUGAAACAAGGCAAGCUUCGAACAAGAUUGAAAAGCUGAAGUGGCGUUUAGGCUUGAAAGGUUUUCAUGGUGUUUGCAGUGAUGGCCAGAGUGGCGGCCUAGCUUUAUUUUGGGACAAGUCUCUUCGGGUCUCGAUUAGAGACUCAUGUUCUCGGCACAUUGAUGUGGAUGUGAUGGAUGGGAACAUUGGUUCAAGUUGGCGCGCAACUUUUUUUUAUGGAGAACCAAGGGUGGAAAACCGACAUUUGAUGUGGCAGCAUUUGUCAAGGUUAUGUGCUAGUUCAUUAGACCCAUGGUUAGUGUGUGGUAACUUUAACGAGGCACUUUGGCAACAUGAACACUUAUCAAGGACGCAACGAGCAGAAGUUCAGAUUGUGGCGUUUCGUGAUUGUCUAACGGUGUGUCAACUGGAAGAUUUGGGGUUCUCUUGCAUGCCGUAUACAUAUGAUAAUGGGCAGCAUGGUGAUCGUAAUGUACGUGUGCAUCUCGAUAGGGCAUGUGCGGAUGAGUAGUGGAGCGACAUGUUUCCAAUAAGGUCCAGGGUAGUUCAUGGGGCAACCCCUUGUUCUGAUCAUUGCCUGAUUGUUUUGCAGCUACAUCCGGUGGAUGACAAACCCUGUAGGUCUAAUUAUUCCCGCUAUGAAAUUAUGUGGGAAAGAGAACUGUCGCAAUAGGAAGUGGUCGCUAGAACAUGGGAGAUUGAGAGGCCAGCAGGAAAUCUUGGGUCGGUCUUGUACUCGCUUAAGAAUAUGAUGAGAAAGUUGCGGGAGUGGAGCAAAGAGAAGUUUGGCAAUGUAAUCUGGGACAUUGAAAAGCUUCAUGGCGAGCUUGCCGACCUACAGAUUGGUAACGCAGAUCGGGCUAUAAUAAGACAAAAGAUGAAUGAGUUAGACGAGAUAUUGUACCGUGAAUAGAUGCUUUGGCUCCAACGGUCACGAAUUACAUGGUUAAAGGAGGGCGAAAAAAUACGAGGUAUUUGCAUCGUCGUGCGGUUUGGAGAGGACGUAGAAAUCAUAUUCAGAGGUUGCGCAAAGAUGAUAGUUCAUGGUGUGAUAGCCCUUCGGAUAUGGAAUGGAUGGCACGUUCAUAUUUUAGUGAGGUGUACACAAAGGAUCCCACGCUAAAUGCGGACAGGGUCCUGGAGUGCAUUGCUCCAAAAGUUUCUGAGGAGAUGAACAAUUUCCUUUGUGCUCCUUAUUUAGAAAAGGAGGUCUCUGACGCGCUGUUUCAGUUUGGCCCACUAAAAGCACCAGGUACGGAUGGUCUUCGAGCACGAUUUUAUCAGCAUAACUGGGGCAUCUUAAAGUCUAAAAUUAUUGCGGCGGCGCUUGAGUUUUUUUGUUAGUGGAGUUAUGCCGGAUGGAGUUAAUGAUACGGCUAUCGUUUUGAUUCCAAAAGUGCCUCACCCAAAGGAGCUAAAGGAUUUCAGUCCGAUAAGCCUUUGCAACGUGGUGUAUAAAAUUGUCUCAAAUUGUAUGGUCAACAGGCUUAGGCAUCUUCUUAUGGAUCUUAUUUCGGAGAAUCAAAGUGCCUUUAUUCCAGGUCAUCUCAUAUCUGAUAAUUCUAUCAUUGCAUUUGAAUGUAUUGACUAUAUCCAAUCCCUAAAAGGUAGUACAAAUAUGUGCUGCGCCUACAAGCUUGAUCUUUUGAAACUUUACGAUCGAGUGGAUUGGAAUUUUUUGGAGAAGGCUUUAUUGAAGUGGGGCUUUUCUUCGGCUUGGAUUUCACGCAUUAUGGCGUGUUUUACUUUAGUUAAAUACUUAGUGAUGUUUAACGGGAAGUUUCUAGAGUCCUAUGCACCUACGAGAGGUCUUCGCCAAGGGGGUCCUCUUUCACCGUUUGUAUUCUUAUUUGUGGUUGAUGCAUUAUUUGCAUUAAUUAGUGAGGCCACUGUGGUAAAUGGUUUACACGGGGUUCAUAUUUGUAGAAGGGCAUGAGUAAUAUCUCACUUGCUCUUUGCGGAUGACUCGCUUUUAUUAUUUCAUGCUUCUGAGCAGCAGGCGAGCAUUGUCAAAGGUUUGUUGAACACUUAUGUAGAGGCGACGGGUCAACUUAUAAACCUAUCAAAGUGUUCCAUCCUGUUUUCUGGCAAUUGCCCUGAGCUGGUUCAUAUGUUUCAGCUACAUGCCACCAUCGUUUCUCUCAACAGUUCUCUACCAAACACGAUCAAGAGGCAGUAGAAAAUUGCAUUCCUUUCAAUUUUUUGCUAUAUAAACCAAACUUCAGUAUUUCUCUACUAUGAAAUGUCAUUAUCCUUUGCAAGAACUUCAACUCUAGCUAUAAGCUGAGAUAUGCAUGUUUUGUGUCUCAGGUCUUAAAGUGUCAACUACACAUUAGUCAUAAGCUAGCUAGCAUAGCUGGUAUGGUAACGUCCACCAUGGCUGCCUUUUUUAGAAAAGGAGGCUUGCUCGGGCCUCUACAUUAUGAUGAUGCAUGCAACCAUUUUAUUGCGCAAACAAAAAAUACAAUAAAGGAGUCAUUACUGACCUAUCUACCUCACGACCUAGUAUUAGAUAUGAUACGAACCUUCAACCACACACAUGCUACAUAUACUUCCUUCUCCAAUACCACCAUCGGUCGGUUUGUUACUUUUCACCCAAAUACCAUAUCUCAUCUCAUCCUUGUUUUAUUGGUUCCCCAAGUUUUCAUGUGCAUAAGAGGCACCGGGAAGCUCUAAAAAUCACAUUCCCAUAGUGCAUCUUCCAUCCUUCUUGGCCUUGGAUAGUGAUGUCAUCGCAAUCAGCUGGGCCCGAACUGCCAUCGAGAAGGAGCGGCCACCCUGCAAAAUUUGUCGGAUGCAAUCUGGCGGGGGCAAAGACAUCAUGCUCGGAGGUAGAUGACGAUGGGCACAAGGAGGAGAGUUUGGUCGCUGCCCGAGCCGCCUAGGACGCGAUGCGAUGGGCAGAUCUGCCUUAACUUUGGGAGAGAAUUUCACUUUCUGGCCUCUGCAACAAAUAUAGUACCAAGAUAAGCAUGAUCCUUAAAGAUUUUUUUAAUGAGUACCAAGAUAUUAUCAUGAUAAGUAUGCACAUUCAUAACAUCGGACAAGCCACUAUUAAUUUCCCUAUCUCUAAACAUGAUCUUCUACUAAAAUGUGUCUUCCAUGUUUCACGAAACAACAAAAAUCUUGCAUCCAUAUCUCGUUAAUCAGCCAAAAAUAAGUUUGUCUUUGAAACUCAUCCAACGAGGAUCGGGCAACGAGGGAUCUCAUCCAUCCUGGUAGAUGCACUGGACGACUUUACCCCAUUACAUCAAGAAUAUUUAGCCGAAAACGUCGUUGUGAAGUCCUCUUUGGCAAGAUGGCAUCAAAUAUUAGGACAUCCUUCAUAAAAAAUAGUUGACAAAAUAGUGAAUAAAGACAUUCUUCAAUUGUCUUGUAAUGAGAAUAAGGAGUCUUUUUGUGACGAUUGUCAAGAUGCCGAAGGUCAUCAACUCCCUUUUCCUAAGCUCCGCAAUGUGUCUCAUGCUCCUUUAGAUCUUCUUUUCGGUAAUGCAUGGGGUCAUGCAAGAGAUUCAUUUGGAAGAAAUAAAUACUAUAUAUGUUAUCUUUAUAGAUGAUUUUAGUAAGUUUACUUGGAUAUACCUGAUUAAACACAAAUCUAAAGUAUUUUCUUUCUUCAAAGAAUUCCAAAAACUUGUGGAGAGACACUUUGAUAAGAAAAUUAUUGCAGUCCAAAGUGACUGGGGUGGAGAGUAUGAGAAACUCAACUCUUUCUUUCAUAGUGUAGGCAUUGAUCAUGAUGUAUCAUGUCCACAUGCACUCAAAUAAAUUGUCUUGCUGACAGGAAGCAUUGGCACAUUGCUGAAAUAGGAAUUUCCUUCAUGCACAUGCAUCAAUUCCUCUUAAAUAUUGGGACCAAGCCUUUAUUGUUGCCACUUAUCUUAUCAACCGCCUACCAAGCAAAGUCAUUGGCAAUAGCACUCCUCGGAAUGUAGAACAGUAGAAGGGUGUUAUGAGGUUUAUGCACAACAUCCAAAAUAAAGAGACCCAAGCUCAGUCAUAGAAUCCUAUGGACAAUACACCUGUUAGAAUCCGAUGUAAGAAAUUGAAUAUCCAACGGCAAGCAGUGCUCCUUUCCAGAUCUGUACCUUUUUAAUUGCUUCAUCCAAUAGCCAAUAUUCGAAGCUUAUUUGUACAUUAUAUAUAGGGAUUUUGUGGUGGGUACAACUGCAACUUUUCGUUUAUUUUCUCUCGUAUAUAAAGGUGACAUACAGAUGUUAGCGCGGCCAGCGUGUAAUCGACUCGGUGACCAACAUGAUGCAACCCUAGACUCAUAUGUAGUCUUGUCAGUCACCUCCUUCGUUGGGGCCUGGUUCAGAAGAUAGACCGCCGUCGAGACAACUUUUCACUAAAAAAUAUCCGGUAAGUUCUUCUUCUUGAGUAAACUCCUCGCCAUGCCAACGACGGUUCAACCGUGCCUUCCAACACUGUUCUGCUGCAGCAUAUAAGAUGUCGUGGGGAACCAUUUUAAGACGAUCUUCUUACAGCAGUCAUUGAACUCCGCCAUGAUCUGUGCAUAGAGCUUGAACAUUCAGCUCGUGUUCCAUCUUUGUUGCAGCCUUUGGUUUCUUGAAAGCUUCAAACGCCUCAUAUUUAGUGUCACAUAGAUCACCAGGGAGUAGCAGAGUAGGGAACGGUUAUGUAUGCAAAUAAAUCACAUAGUAGUAAUAAGAACAAAAGAACACUUUGAAGCGCGUGUUGUCUCUCUCCUUUCUUCGAAGGGUAGCAGUAACCGCUAGCAAACUAGUGCCAAACCUUGCUCUAUGUCUCUCUAUCUCUCUCUCUCCCUCCCUCCCGCCCUCCUCUCUGAUUUCUGCCAUCGCCAGCUGCUCCUUCCACAGCGUUUAGAAUCCCCUUUACCCGGCAGCGUGUACAGCAGUAGGGCACAACAACAGCCAAUAGGCACUGUACCUUUCCUUCGUACGUGGUCACGGCGGCAACAGCAUGGAGUUCAUUUAUUGAUGAAUCCCCAUCUUAUAUGCUUGCCCUUCUCUUUCGUAAUUAAUGAGCCCAAAAUUAACCUGCAUAUUUAACCCUAUGCACAAGGACAGUGGAUGAUCUGUGACAAAAACUGCAAUUAGGAUGGUUAAUUGGAGGCUCACCAACAUAUAUUGAUCUUAUCUUACGCUUGUGCAUUUUAGUUCUGCAGUGGCGGGUGUAAUUUAAGGCACGACAAGGGCCCUUGGCUACAUAAUUUUGUGUGUGCGUGUUAGUAGUGAUUUCAUGUAAUCGAUCCUGAGGGUUGAGUUCCAACAAUUGUUAGGUCUAAUCUUGAGUUUGUAGUCACAAGUGCAUGUACAGGUUGUGCUAGGACGUGUAGUCCAUGGUCUUGGGCUAAGUACGUGUCUAGUUUAGAUAGUUCUAGGAGUCCUGAGUCAUGCACGGGUACUAGUCCUUGCAGGAACAGGUUAGUAGGUGUCCGAGGUUAGUUUGGCUAGUUAGAGUCCGAGUAGGACUUGUGUCAUGUUGGUCAAGGCUGCGUGCAUAUAUAUAGACGUGAAGGUAUGUGGAUUUUGGAGUACCGUGACUUGAGAAAAAAGAGAAAAUAAAGAGGGAAAAUUAAGGCACGACAAGGGCCCUUGGCUACAUAAUUUUGUGUGUGCGUGUUAGUAGUGAUUUCAUGUAAUCGAUCAUGAGGGUUGAGUUCCAACAAUUGGUAUCUAGAGCAAGGUCGAGGUGAAGCUAUACUUGCCCCGGGGAGGUGACCCGACUAGCGCCUCGGGGCGGGCUAUAUGGUCACUGGGUGGUGCAGCGACGAGGAGCGGCGGGCAAUGGUCGUUCGUGGAGCGACGGAUGAAGAGGUUCAGGAGAUCGUCGUUCGGCGAAGCGGCAAGGAGGGACAGUGGUCGGUCGUCGGCAAGGCGGUGGAAGAAAAUCGUUGAUGGGAGCGAUGGUGCCGAGGUGCGGUGCCGAGAAGCCAUCAAGGUCAUCGUCCAAGGGAAUAGGAGUCAAGGAGUCGUGCGGGUUGGGACAUCUCGGUCGUCGUGUCAGUGAGUCGUCGGCGUCGUCAUGUCCAAGUGCUCGUCUUGGUGAUGAUUCGUUGGAGUUGAAGCGGUGUGCACGGUGUUCCGUGAGUCAUAUCCAUGUCCUCGUGGAGCGUCCUGGUUGCGGCCAGUAUGGAUUCGGUGUGAUGCCGAAGGUGGACGAUGGUAGGCGAAGCCAUCGUAAAGCGAGGAGGUGUGCGAGUAGUGGAGAGUGGAUCUACUACAAGCAAGUACAAAGAGUAUGGUGCGGACCGAGUGCAAGGCAGCGGCCAAGCAAUGGCGGUGGCACAACAUUGUAGAGCAAGGAGGUUCUACUUGUUUCCAGACGGGUCAUACUCAAUGUACGGAUACGACGGUUUAGUCGAUGUGUCGACAAGUCACGAGUCAACAACGAGUCAAGACAAGACGGAACACUAAGAAGAUGGCAUGUCAAGAUUAGGAAGAGAUUGUUAGGUAUAAUCUUGAGUUUGUAGUCACUAGUGCAUGUACAGGUUGUGCUAGGACGUGUAGUCCAUGGUCUUGGGCUAAGUACGUGUCUAGUUUAGAUAGUUCUAGGAGUCCUGAGUCAUGUACGGGUACUAGUCCUUGCAGGAACAGGUUAGUAGGUGUCCGAGGUUAGUUUGGCUAGUUAGAGUCCGAGUAGGACUUGUGUCAUGUUGGUCAAGGCUGCGUGCAUAUAUAUAGACGUGAAGGUAUGUGGAUUUUGGAGUACCGUGACUUGAGAAAAAAGAGAAAAUAAAGAGGGAAAAUUAAGGCACGACAAGGGCCCUUGGCUACAUAAUUUUGUGUGUGCGUGUUAGUAGUGAUUUCAUGUAAUCGAUCAUGAGGGUUGAGUUCCAACAAUUGGUAUCUAGAGCAAGGUCGAGGUGAAGCUAUGCUUGCCCCGGGGAGGUGACCCGACUAGCGCCUCGGGGCGGGCUAUAUGGUCACUGGGUGGUGCAGCGACGAGGAGCGGCGGGCAAUGGUCGUUCGUGGAGCGACGGAUGAAGAGGUUCAGGAGAUCGUCGUUCGGCGAAGCGGCAAGGAGGGACAGUGGUCGGUCGUCGGCAAGGCGGUGGAAGAAAAUCGUUGAUGGGAGCGAUGGUGCCGAGGUGCGGUGCCGAGAAGCCAUCAAGGUCAUCGUCCAAGGGAAUAGGAGUCAAGGAGUCGUGCGGGUUGGGACAUCUCGGUCGUCGUGUCAGUGAGUCGUCGGCGUCGUCAUGUCCAAGUGCUCGUCUUGGUGAUGAUUCGUUGGAGUUGAAGCGGUGUGCACGGUGUUCCGUGAGUCAUAUCCAUGUCCUCGUGGAGCGUCCUGGUUGCGGCCAGUAUGGAUUCGGUGUGAUGCCGAAGGUGGACGAUGGUAGGCGAAGCCAUCGUAAAGCGAGGAGGUGUGCGAGUAGUGGAGAGUGGAUCUACUACAAGCAAGUACAAAGAGUAUGGUGCGGACCGAGUGCAAGGCAGCGGCCAAGCAAUGGCGGUGGCACAACAUUGUAGAGCAAGGAGGUUCUACUUGUUUCCAGACGGGUCAUACUCAAUGUACGGAUACGACGGUUUAGUCGAUGUGUCGACAAGUCACGAGUCAACAACGAGUCAAGACAAGACGGAACACUAAGAAGAUGGCAUGUCAAGAUUAGGAAGAGAUUGUUAGGUAUAAUCUUGAGUUUGUAGUCACUAGUGCAUGUACAGGUUGUGCUAGGACGUGUAGUCCAUGGUCUUGGGCUAAGUACGUGUCUAGUUUAGAUAGUUCUAGGAGUCCUGAGUCAUGUACGGGUACUAGUCCUUGCAGGAACAGGUUAGUAGGUGUCCGAGGUUAGUUUGGCUAGUUAGAGUCCGAGUAGGACUUGUGUCAUGUUGGUCAAGGCUGCGUGCAUAUAUAUAGACGUGAAGGUAUGUGGAUUUUGGAGUACCGUGACUUGAGAAAAAAGAGAAAAUAAAGAGGGAAAAUUAAGGCACGACAAGGGCCCUUGGCUACAUAAUUUUGUGUGUGCGUGUUAGUAGUGAUUUCAUGUAAUCGAUCCUGAGGGUUGAGUUCCAACAGUAAUGCUUAAACCUUUUAAAUAAUAGAGCUUCCCAUUUUAGAAAAUAUGGCAACGGAAAAAAUGCACUAUACAAAAUAGUGUCGACCCUUAAAAUAUGUUCCUAACAUUUUUAGAAAGACAAUUCUCUACAUAGUAUAGCGUGCUAUUAAUGACGCUAUAGCAUUGCUAUUUUUGCCCUAGUUAUAUAUAUGAUGGUAAGUAUGAGGAACUUAGUUAGAGUUAUGUAUAGACAGAUACUUAUUCAUAUAGCAGUAGCACAUGGACAGAGUUGUAGCUACCGCAAGAGGCUUACCAUCAUAUGUGCAAUAAAGGAGUAGUAGUGUUAUUAAUUCAUAUAUCUACCUCACAGACUAGUUAUGAGAAAGGACACAAACCCUUGGCUACAGAUAUAUCAUAUAUAUACCUCCUCCUUCUGCCAGCAGCGAUAGGUUCGCUCGCACACAUUCAUAGUUUUCACUGAGAUAUGAUGCUUUUAUCUUAUCCCAGUUUUUUUUUGCCUCCCAAUUAAUUAAGAUAGGCAUUGAAGGUUUCUGGAAGUCUCCGAAAACGGUAGACUGAUGGCGCAGUAUCCAUCUCUCUAGCCUACAUCGUAAUACGGCGCAAUAUACUGCUUAGCGGCCACUACACUCUGUAUUUUUUGGUAAUCAUGAGCCAUCAUGGUGUGUCGUCAUCAGCAAAGCUAAUUAGCCUAUCUUGUGCUAGCGACAAUAAACGUAACCAAAUUUUUAAUUUCGAGAAAGCAUAAAUACAUGCAUACAAGAUUAUUGCUCUAGGACUGAGAAAUCGAGCAUCUUAUAUAUCUUUGCAGGUUUUGCUCGUCCAUAGAUACAAUAUCUUCAAUUUGAUUUUGGUUGUCUGUCAAUUUGAACCAAAUCAUUGGACCAUUAACCUGAAUUUUGUACGUCGUCUAUUUUAUUAUGUGGACAUGGACCGUGGGUAGAUGAUGAUUAAUGGCGAUGGCAGUCAGGAACAGGAACUAGAGGGUCACAACAUAGCUCCCUUUUAUGUUAAUUGUGCCCUUGUGGUGGUAAUUGGGAACACCUUAGCUAGAGAGUCUCUCAGAGUGAGAAAUACUAAGUACAUAUAGCAGUAGCAGGUAGAUAGAGUUAUACCAUUCCAAUAAAUCAUAACUAAUUAUAUGAUUGACGCACAAACAAAAUUACUUGUUAUAAAAAAAUACAUGUGGUUGAGCAACCAAAGAGUCAAGGCCACAUAGACGCUUGAACAAUUCAGGAUCUCAUAUGUCAACUAUACGUUGAUUUCAACAAAUAUGUCAUGAUUGAUAAAUAUAAGAGUCUUGCACCACAUCAUGCAUUAAAAAUAGUUAUUCAUUACCAAAUGUUAUGACCCGUUGCAAGAACUUGAACUCUAUGCACUUAAAUGACCAUAUAUAGAUCCCAUUGUUUCACCUUAACUAUAAAGAGUUUCUACUAACUUAAAUGAGCCAGUCUGUGUCUAGCUAUCUAACAUCGGCAAUCAUUACCUAGUUUAUCCAUCUCACUUUUGCGUAUUCUUAGCAUGCCUAUCUACCAUAAAUAGUAGCACUACUAAAAAAAGGCUAUAGCUAAUAUAUAUGGACAUUAAUGACCCAUCAUGUAUGUGGUGCGUCACUGCUAUAUAGCAGUGGCGCACCAGAGACUGGUGCGUCAUUAGUGUUCAUAUUACUAAUGGCGCACCUUGUGUGUGGUGCGCCAUUACUAUCUUUGUUCUGGCCCCACACCCUUUCCUAGACAUAUCAGUGACGCACCAGGGAAAGUACGCCAUUACUAGUUUUAACUAGUAAUGGCGCACCACAUCCACGGUGCGUCAGAACUAACGAUUGUUUUUUCAGUUUUUUUUUUCAAAAUUACUAAUGGCGCAUUGUUACGAGGUGCGUCAUUGGUAACCUGGUUAUCAAUGACGCAUUCUUAGGUGGGUCGCCAUUGAUAAUCAGAAGUGAAAAAAAAAACUCCCGCUCCAAUCCAGCGAAACUCCCGCUCUCGCGCACCGUCCACCUCCCCCACUGCACCUGCCGUCGCCGGCUGAACCCCCUGCUCCCCCCUCGCCGCUGCGCCACCUCCGCCUCGCACCGCGCCCUCCCCGCUCCCUGCCUCUCCCCACCGCCGCCAGGAACCCCCGAUGAUGGGCGACGACAAGAGCGCCGCCGCCUCCCCCUCCGCCUCCGCCGCGCUCCCCUCCUUCGGCCUCGAGGUUCGCCCAGAGGUUCGCCCCCCUCCCUCCGCCGUAUAGAACCCUCUCAAAACUUAGCGGACAGUGUUCAGUGGUUAGUACAAAUGGAGACGGAUCGAGGUCAGUGGUUUUUGAAUCAUUUUGUGUAUGUGGUUCUGCCAUGUAGUUGAAACGUGAAGUUUUGAGAGGAACAGGCUGGCAAUAUUCGUACAACCAUAGUGCAAAGUUGUAAAUUAUACUUAGGAACUAAUUUUUUUACAAAAAUGGUUCGAAAGAUAAUAUUUCAUAAGAUCGUGAUUGAUUAUGGGCAACAACACAUGUUUCCCAUAAGUUACGAGCGCCAACCCACGCUGAUAAAUGUGCCCUUGACGAGGUCUAACUAUUACCACCAUCUGCAACGGUAGGAUUUUGCCAUCUAAUUAUUUAGGAUUAUGUCCAAAUGAAGAGAGAAACGGUAGAGCUAAUGCACAUGUCAAGGUCAAGGUCAUAUGUCAGACCAGUAACAAUGUCAAGGUCGUAUAUCUAUAUCUCUGUUUGUUGAUUUGAUCCAUGCACAAGUCAAUAAUCAGAUCAAUAAUAAUGUGAAAGUUCUCUGUUUCUGUCGGUUGAUUCAACCUAUACAUGCACAUAUAAAUGACAGAGCUGUUCAAAAGCUACAACGACAUUUGAAACUUUUCAACCUAUACAUGCACAUGUAAAUGACAGAGCUCUUCAAAAGCUACAGCGACAUUCGAAACUUUGAUACAUAUACAUCUGCCCAAGCUUUUGUACUAGGAACAGAAGGGAGACAAUUAUUCCCUCGUAAUGAAUGGUGAACAGCUGAGGUUCUAUCAGGGAGAUGAUGCAUGACGCCUAGGGAUGUGAUUGGGUUGAAAAGGAAUCAUGUCUUUCCAUCUCACCUUCAUCUAUCUAGGUUUAAUGUAAUCUAAUACAAGGGGCUCCCAAUCAACUCUGGUUUUGUUAUCUUGUGGCUUUUGAGCUAGCAGUAGUACUAGUGCUGCUAGGGAUGAAAAAGAUAAGAUGAUAGUGACAGGGGAAUCGGGUGUAUAGGGAAUCGGCAGAAAGGGUGACAAGAGAUGUAUAGAUAUGAUGUGUCUGUUGGCCAUAAAGGUCAGGUAUCAUUGCAAUGAAAAAAAUGUGACCAAGUGCCGUUUGUGUGGUUUAUUCCUGAAAGAAUGCAAAGUUCAAAACAUGCAGAGGUCAUUGUGUAAUCUUUGUGUAAGCAGCCGAGCAACCAUUGUCCAUGUUGCUUCUCGUCCUAAACUGUGAUUGCUCAUGGUGGACGGCUCAUGAUGCAUUACCUAGCUAGGUGAAAGAUGCAGAAAUGGGCCUGAAAAAAAUGUGUUGUUGUCCCGACUAAUACUAGUACAUAUUUCGAGCAAAUGAUCAAUUUCAUAUCAGGCAUCAAACGGUCCUAAUUAAUAUAAUCAACACCAAACGGUCCUUAAUCAACACCACCCCACUCCCUAAUAAACACCAAAUGGUCCUAGUUAAUUAAUAUAAUCUGAAGCAUCAUUCAUCUUACUUUUGCCACGAACCAUGAACCAUUGUACCGAGAGAGGUAUCAUUCAUCUUACUUUGUGCAUUGCUUGACUUGCCAUGAACCAUGGUAUCGAGAGAGGUGUCAUUCAUCUUACUUUUACAUUUUACAUGCUAAUAUUACUAUUGUGCCAUGGUACCGAGAGAGAUAUCAUUCAUCUUAUUUUUACUUGCCAUGAACCAUGUUACCAAGAGAGGUAUACCUGUAAUAUAUUGCACCGAAAGAGUGCUCUUCAUGUUUGGUAGCUUUGCUUGUUUUGCCGGAAUGUUGAUUCAUUUCCAUUCCGGCAAAUUUCAGGCGCUUCAUAUGUUCAUUUUUUUAGUAAAUGUCAUGCCCAAAUUUUCUUUGUUUUAGGAAUUGUCGUCUGACGACGAAUACGUUAUGUGCGAAUACUGCCAAGACAAGCGCGGCCUUUGCGACAAGCCUUUCCUAGUUGAUGAUAGGCGUUUCAGCAUCAUGCUGGAUGAGGACUUCGAAGUGGAUACAGUAAGUCACAACGACAAGUCUUUUUUGGUAAUUAAGCAUGACUUCUUUUGCUUCAACUUAUAAUUUUUAUUUUUUACUAUUCUACUAGCGUAUCCCCUGCCAUGCAAGACAUUAUGUGUUGGCUAAGAUUGGUUUCGGUACUGAAGAAGCUAUGGAGGUAAAGAUAGUUCACUUGAGGACCGAGCAUGGUUAUACUUUUGCCGUAAAAUUGUACAAUGCAGACACCUACUCCGUUUUUGAAUGCAAAACUUGGGUAGCACUAUGCAAGGCUUAUGCAUUUGAGCCUAAUAUGGUUAUCACCUUUGAUAUUCGUACGGAAGAUGAAAUUGAAGGUAAUAUCGACAUUUGGUUCGAUGGGCAGACGCCUCCAGUUCUAUCAUUAUGUGAGUUUCUCAACCAUAUUUAUUAAGUAAUUUAUAUUGUUUAUUUAAAAAUAGUUGACAACUUAUUUCCAUUGACAAUUUAUUUUCAUUCUUCAAAAAAUGUAUGGAAAAUGGUAGACAAAACCUAUUACUACAAUUAUGAAGCAGAAUUAUCUUGUCAGGAGAUACAUCAUCUUGUCCAAUUUAUCAUUGAUCUUGAGAAUUACAAUACCAAUCAGCAAACUUUCCAACAUUAUGGUCAAUAUGUGCCACUAGUGCACGUGGUGAACUACAGUAACAUGCAUGGAGAUUGCAUGGUAAGAUUUUCUACUAUUAUGACAUACAUGCAUCUUUUGCAUAAAUUCUUGUAAAACUAAACUACAUUGCUAGCUACAAAGCUAAUACUAUGUUUUUCAACAGAAAAUCCCGGAAGAUUGUGUGCCUCAUCUGAUGUUACCAAGAGGUCGCGUUGAUGUUAUGAUCAUACGACCAGCACGGCCAGGUCAGCCUAGGUAUCUGAUGUACUCCUGUCCAUACCGGAUUUCUAAAACCGAUGAAGUCAUGACAAUCAAAGAUUGGAAAAAAUGUAUGGUCUAUCCUAGAGAGCUACUUGGAAGCAACAUUGUGCGUAGGCCAAGAAUUGGAGACAAGAUGAUCUCCAUUCUCCAUAAUGAAGAGUCAGGGCCUAUCUUGUUUUUUGAUAUUCUACCUAAGCGGAGGAGUAGGUCCUAGGUUCAAUGUGUUAUUAUGUGCUACAGUGUGAUGAUGUGCUACAAUGUGUUAAUGUGAUGAUGUGCUACAAUGUAUUAAAUAGUAUUGGUGGUAAUGACUAUGAUGAUUAUUAGCUAUUUCCGAGAUGAUGUGAUGAUGUGCUACAAUGUGUUAGAGUUGACGAUGAUGAUGAUGAUGAUGUGCUACAAUGUAUUUUGUAACCUGUGCACCAUCUAAAAGUGCACAGGUUACAAUGAUGAUGAUGAUGUGCUACAAUGUGCUAAAAAAAUCCUAAUAUUCAUAGUAGUGGCCCACCAUCUAAAGUGCGCCAUUAGUAAACCCACAGUAGUGAAGCACUUCUGGGCCUAAUAAUGACGGACCAGGUGGUGCGCCACUGUUAUGUAUAUUAACAGUGGCGCACGAGGGGUGCGCCAUUACUAUUUAUUAGUAGUGGCGUGAUAAUAGUGGCGCACCUAUAGUGCGCCAUUAAUAGGAAAAAUAGAUGCACAACUAAUAGCCUUUUUUCUAGUAGUGUAGUAAUGGGUACAAACUAUAAGUUAGCUCCAUAUAAUGACACUUCUGUUGGAAUUAACCACGAUCAAGUAGUCCUGUCAGGAUCGGACUAGGAGCAGUCACCGAAUACGUAUAGGUGUAGGUCAGUUUUGCUCCUAGAUAUACUUGCACUAGUGGGGACGGGGCCUUUAGCCCGGGCCCGUAAGGGGCUUUAGUCCCGGUUCACCAACCGGGACUAAAGGGGCGGGACUAAAGGCCUAACCUUUCGUCUCGGCCCUCUUACAAGCCGGGACUAAAGGUGCUUCACGUGGGCGCCUCGUAGCGCCCCAGGGCCAGGCCCUUUAGUCCCGGUUCGUUACACGAACCGGGACUAAAGAUUUUCAGAUUUUGCUGGUUUUUGGGUUUUUUUUUUGAAUGAAAUUAUUUUUGGGUUUUAGGGUUUUAGGGUUUAGGUGUUCGGGAAUUAGUUUUCAUAUAAAUUAAAUAGAAAUAAUUAUGCAUAUAUAUAUAUAAGAUUAACUNNNNNNNNNNNNNNNNNNNNNNNNNNNNNNNNNNNNNNNNNNNNNNNNNNNNNNNNNNNNNNNNNNNNNNNNNNNNNNNNNNNNNNNNNNNNNNNNNNNNAUAUAAUAAUAACUAAUUUAUUAUUGCCUCUAGGGCAUAUUUCCAACAGUCUCCCACUUGCACUAGAGUCAAUAAUCUAGUUCACAUCACCAUGUGAUUCCAACGAAUCCAACACCCAUAUAGUUAUGGGGUCUGAUCACGUCUUGCUCAUGAGAGAGGUUUUAGUCAACAGUUCUGAAAAUUUCAGAUCCGUGUGUUCUUUACAAAUCUUUAUGUCAUCUUAUAGAUGCUGCUACUAUGUGCUAUUCGGAAAUACUCCAAAUAUCUACUCUACUAUACGAAUCCGUUUCACUACUCAUAGUUNNNNNNNNNNGUGAGAGAGGUUUUAGUCAACGGUUCUGAAACUUUCAGAUUCGUGCGUUCUUUACAAAUCUUUAUGUCAUCUUAUAGAUGCUGCUACUACGUGUUAUUCAGAAAUGCUCCAAAUAUCUACUCUACUAUACGAAUCCGUUUCACUACUCAUAGUUAUUCGGAUUAGUGUCAAAGCUUGCAUCGACGUAACCCUUUACGACGAACUCUUUAACCACCUCCAUAAUCGAGAAAAAUUCCUUAGUCCAUCAGUUACUAAGGAUAAAUUUUGACCGCUGCUAGUGAUUCAAUCAUGGAUCACUCUCUGUACCUCUCAACAGACUUGCUGCAAGGCACACAUCAGGUGCGGUACUCAGCAUGGCAUACUUUAGAGUCUAUGGCUAAGGCAUAGAAGACGACCUUNNNNNNNNNNAUGUACCUCUCAACAAACUUUGAGUCAAGGCACACAUCAGGUGCGGUACCCAGCAUGGCAUACUUCAGAUUCUACGGCCAAGGCAUAGAAGACGACCUUCGUCUAUUCUCUUUAUUCUGCCGGGGUCGGGUUUUGAGUCUUACUCAAAUUCACACCUCACAACGCAACCAAGAACUCCUUCUUUGCUGAUCUAUUUUGAACUCCUUCAAAGACUUGUCAAGGCAUGGAUCUUGUUGAAACUUCCGCUAAGCACUUUCGAUCUAUCUCCAUAGAUCUUUGAUGCUCAACGUUCAAGUAGCGCAAUCCAGGUACUCCUUUGAAAACUCCUUUCAAACAACCUUGUAUGCUUUACAGAAAUUCUACAUUACUUCUGCUCCACAAUAUGUCAACCACAUAUACUUAUAAGAAAUUCUAUAGUGCUCCCACUCACUUCUUUGGAAAUACAAGUUUCUCAUAAACCUUGUACAAACCCAAAAUCUUUGAUCAUCUCAUCAAAGUGUAUAUUCCAACUCCGAGAUGCUUGCACCAGUCCAUUGAAGGAUCGCUGGAGCUUGCAUACUUGCUAGUAUCUUUAGGAUCAACAAAACCUCCUGGUUAUAUCACAUACAAUGUUUGCUCAAGGAAACCGUCGAGGAAACAAUGUUUUGACAUCCUAUGUGCAAUAUUUCAUAAAUAAUGCAUCAACUACUAACAUAAUUCUAACAGACUUUUAGCAUCGCUACGAGUGAGAAAGUCUCAUCACUACAAGAAACCUGUUAAUCCAUGACGGAUUUAUGGUGACGUUUUAGAAAACCGUCAUGAAAACUGUUACAAUUGAGCAACGUGCGAACGGGCGCAAAACGUUACUCCCUUUAUGACAGAAAUGGAGGUACCGUCAUGAACGUCGUCAUGGAUCUACUAGCUGGGCCUAGUCGGACUGUCACCGACGUUCCUUGCUGAUGUGUAGUGCGUCCUUAUAUCCUCCAUGCUGCCAAAGGUGCUUUCUGAUUGGUUGAUAUGACCCUCUCGCGGAUCACGCACAAGCACCGUCCAUCCCUCCUAGAUCCAACGGUAGGCACACUCUCCCCUCUCUUUGUUCUCUCUUCCUCCACCCGUGAUCCUCCCCUGAGCCGCCUACUGUUCGAUCCCAAAACUAAUCCCCCAAUUUCGGACCGAGGCACCAUAGAUCUCAGCUCCUUCCCCACGCGCCUCUCACCAGAUCCAUGCCGACAUGCCCAUCCUCUCCUCCCCGUCCAUCUGCUCGUGGAUCUUGUCGCCGGGGUAUCCUUCCCGGAUCUGUUCGCAAGUCCCCAGCCUCAACCAGGGACGCCAACCACCACCACCACCCCUCUCACGUCGUCGUCCCUCGCCGGUCACGCCGUGGUAGGGACUGCUGCUUCCCCUCCGUCGCACACUCAUAGAGGCGACAAGGAAGCGAAUUGCCCUCCUCGAGGGCUGGACGGUGCUGCCACUGUGCAAUGUACGGCUGCAGGCGUUCACCUCCUAGUCCAUCGUCUGCGACGCACCUUAUUCUCCAUCAAGGUUAGCUACCCGCUCGACCCUGUUCCCCGGCUCUCCCUGCAGUUCAUGAAUUCGGGAUGUUGUCUUUGGGUUCUGACUGUGUUGUUGACUGGUCUGAUUGAUUAACUUCUUGUCUUCAAUCGCUGAUGCAGUGCACAACUACUUGCUGCUGAACCUUGUUAGUGUGUUCUAAGGGACGGAGACGGGGAGAGAUGUAGUUGUACAACUACUUGCUGCUGAACCUUGUUAGUGUGUUCGUCCAAUUGAUUAACUUUAGGGCACACCUCAAUUGGAACUCCACACUGCACUAUAGCAAUAUUGUUUUGGAAUGCCCCAUUUAUGGUGAUGACUGAAUGCGUAUUUGGAUAUAGUUAAAUUAUAGUUUGAUCUGGUUCGUUCUGCUGUCUUGGGAUCUAUAACGCAGAGGCGUAUCUCAGGUGUUNNNNNNNNNNNNNNNNNNNNNNNNNNNNNNNNNNNNNNNNNNNNNNNNNNNNNNNNNNNNNNNNNNNNNNNNNNNNNNNNNNNNNNNNNNNNNNNNNNNNACAGCGCGACGCGGCACCGAGACGAACUGCCGCGGGCCUCUAUGGCAGAGAGAGGGGGGCUCUGGAUCUGCCGUGGCGGAGCUGGAUCCAGCGACGAGGGACGUGCCGUCGCCGGCGGCGAUCGAUUCCGGCGAGAUCGAGCGAUCGUUUUUUCUCUUCUCCCCCCGUGCGGUGUGGUGGUGUGUGUCAGCGACCGAUGAUGCUUUUUUUUCUUCUCUCCAACCGAUGAUCGUUCGUGGAGAUCUGGUGUGCCAUGCCACGCAUACGCCAUUCUUUCACUUUGCCCCCCGGUGCUAACCGUCCCUCGCAAACGGGUCCCUGAAUAAUACCUUAGGGGCUAUUAUGUUCUUCCACUUUGGCCCCUGUUACUAACCGUCCUUCGAGAACGGGUCCCUGAAUGAUACAUUAGGGGCUAUUCUGUCAAAAGUGGAUAAACUACCNNNNNNNNNNCUUCUUGUCUCCAACCGAUGAUCGUUCGUGGAGAUCUGGUGUGCCAUGCCACGCAUACGUCCUUCUUCCACUUUGCCCCCGGUACUAACCGUCCCUCGCAAACGGGUCCCUGAAUAAUACCUUAGGGGCUAUNNNNNNNNNNGAGUACUUAUAGUCACACUGCAACCAACUUAGUAAUUACAAAUUAGUCGAUUUCCUCGCGUUUCUCGAGGUGUCGUAGUGGAGGUUGCUCCAUGCUCAGCAUCGUUUGGGUGCACGACACGAAAUUGAUCGGUACUGCUCUCUCGGUCGGUCCAGGUGCAUAGAGCGAUUAAGGAGUCGCGGCGUGACCAAGACACAGUAUGACAUGUCAGCGUUAAGUUUAAUAUAUUGGAAGCUAUAUGAGAGGGUCAAAAGAGGCAAUGGGCNNNNNNNNNNNNNNNNNNNNNNNNNNNNNNNNNNNNNNNNNNNNNNNNNNNNNNNNNNNNNNNNNNNNNNNNNNNNNNNNNNNNNNNNNNNNNNNNNNNNACAGAAACAAGAGUUCAAUGUAGGUGAUUAUGUCUUGCUAUACAAUUCUUGUUUGAGAUUCUUUGCAGGCAAGCUUCUCUCUAAAUGGGAAGGUCCCUAUGUUGUUGAGGAAGUAUAUUGUUCCGAUGCCAUCAAAAUCAAUAACACGAAAGGAAAUUUUCCUAGAGUGGUAAAUGGGCAAAGAAUCAAGCAUUACAUCUCUGGUACUCCCAUACAUGUUGAUACCAAUAUCAUCAAUGUCAUAACUCCAGAGGAGUACAUAAGGGAUGUUUAUCAGCCUGUUUCAGACCUUGAAAAUGAAGAUGUAUCUGUUUGAGUAAGAAAUUGGACUCCGAUGCUUUUCCAAUAGGAAAUUUCCUCCGUUUUGGAAUUUUUGGAAAAUUAGAAAAAUAAAAAGCAGUCCGGAGAGCGAACGAGGCGGCCACAAGCCCUGCCACCGCCCCUACCCCCCUGGUGGCGGAGGGCAAGCUUGUGGGCACCUCGUGUGCCUCCCGGACUCCGUUUGCUUGCAGAGGACUCCUUCUGGCCCAAAAAAAAUCAAUAUAUAGUCGCCCGAAGGUUUUGAUCUCCGUAUCGCGUAGUUUUCCUGUGUUUUCGUUUCGAGCCUAUUUCUGUGACAGAUCUAGAUCAUCAUGACUUCCCCAAACGCCCCUAAGGACAAGAUCUUCGAGAAAGUCAUCAAUCCCUACCUCACGGAAGUGCUGAAACACCCUCAAUCUAUCAAGAUGAGCGAGGGGAUGUUGCACAUCCGUGAUGUUGAGGGGCCUAAGAAGACCGGAAGCAUGGAAACGAGGCUCGAAGCAAUGGAGCAACAAGUCUUCAAGUGCUAAGGGAUGGUGGAGAGUGGACUCAACGCCAACCACACAAUGAUCAGGGAGUUCACUAGCAAUCACAAGAUGGAUGCCAUUGAUAUUGNNNNNNNNNNNNNNNNNNNNNNNNNNNNNNNNNNNNNNNNNNNNNNNNNNNNNNNNNNNNNNNNNNNNNNNNNNNNNNNNNNNNNNNNNNNNNNNNNNNNNNNNNNNNNNNNNNNNNNUGAUCAACUGCAGGGCCAGAUCUAUGACCAGCAGAACCAAAACUAUGAGUAUGAGUACAUAUUUAAAUCAAUAAGGUUGGCUGCAGAUUUGAGGAUUCCGGCGACUCGUUCAUCCUGCCAUGAUGGAGCACCUAUGCCUUGGAAGACGGAGGAUCAGACUACUCCAACAACUCCACCACCAUCACCACCAAAGGAAGACAACUAAGCAUUGGUAUGGGCAAUCCCCUUGGCUUCUGCCAAGCUUGGGGGAGUUGCCCUGGUAUNNNNNNNNNNNNNNNNNNNNNNNNNNNNNNNNNNNNNNNNNNNNNNNNNNNNNNNNNNNNNNNNNNNNNNNNNNNNNNNNNNNNNNNNNNNNNNNNNNNNCUAGAUCGUGGGACUGAUCGCGGGACGGUUCGCGGGGCGGAUCGAGGGGCGUGAGGACGUUCCACUACAUCAACCGCGUUCACUAAUGCUUCUGCUGUACGGUCUACAAGGGUACGUAGAUCACACAUCCCCUCUCGUAGAUGGACAUCACCAUGAUAGGUCUUCGUGCGCGUNNNNNNNNNNUCUGUACGAUCUACAAGGGUACGUAGAUCACUCAUCCCCUCUCGUAGAUGGACAUCACCAUGAUAGGUCUUCGUGCGCGUAGGAAAAAUUUUGUUUCCCAUGCGACGUUCCCCGACAGUGGUAUCAGAGCCAGGUUCAUGCGUAGAUGUCUUCUCGAGUAGAACACAAAAGUUUUUGUGGGCGGCGAUGCGCGUUUUGCUGCCCACCUUAGUCUUUUCUUGAUUCCGCGGUAUUGUUGGAUUGAAGCGGCUUGGACCGACAUUACUCGUACGCUUACGAGAGACUGGUUUCAUCGCUACGAGUAACCCCGUUGCUCAAAGAUGACUGGCAAGUGUCAGUUUCUCCAACUUUAGUCGAAUCGGAUUUGACCGAGGAGGUCCUUGUAUAAGGUUAAAUAGCAAUUNNNNNNNNNNUAUCUCCGUUGUGGUGUUUGCGUAAGUAAGAUUCGAUCCUACUAGAUACCCAUGGUCACCACGUAAAACAUGCAACAAUAAAAUUAGAGGACGUCUAACUUGUUUUUGCAGGGUAUGCUUGCGAUGUGAUAUAUUGGAUGUAUGAAAUGAUCAUGUUGUAAUAGAUAAUAUCGACUUGCACGUCAAUGGUACGGCAACCGGCAGGAGCCAUAGGGUUGUCUUUAAACUAACGUUUGUGCUUGCAGAUGCGUUUACUAUUUUGCUAGGAUGUAGCUUUAGUAGUAAUAGCAUGAGUAGCACGACAACCCCGAUGGCGACACGUUGAUGGAGAUCAUGAUGAUGGAGAUCAUGGUGUGACGCCGGUGACAAGAAGAUCGUGCCGGUGCUUUGGUGAUGGAGAUCAAGAAGCACGUGAUGAUGGCCAUAUCAUGUCACUUAUGAAUUGCAUGUGAUGUUAAUCCUUUUUUGCACCUUAUGUUGCUUAGAACGACGGUAGCAUUAUGAGGUGAUCUCUCACUAAAAUUUCAAGAUGAAAUUGUGUUCUCCCCGACUGUGCACCGUUGCGACAGUUCUUCGUUUCGAGACACCACGUGAUGAUCUGGUGUGAUAGACUCAACGUUCACAUACAACGGGUGCAAAACAGUUGCACACGCGGAACACUCGGGUUAAGCUUGACGAGCCUAGCAUGUGCAGACAUGGCCUCGGAACACAUGAGACCGAAAGGUCGAGCAUGAAUUGUAUAGUUGAUUUGAUUAGCAUAGAGAUGCUUACCACUGAAACUAUUCUCAACUCACGUGAUGAUCGGACUUGAGAUAGUGGAUUUGGAUCAUGUACCACUCAAAUGACUAGAGAGAUGUACUUUUUGAGUGGGAGUUCUUAAGUAAUAUGAUUAAUUGAAGUAAUUUUCAUGAACAUAGUCUAAUGGUCUUUUCGAAUUACGAUGUAGCUUGCACUAUAGCUCUACUGUUUUUAUAUGUUCCUAGAGAAAAUUUAGUUGAAAGUUGAUAGUAGCAAACUUUGCAGAGGAUUGUCCUCGUUGCUGCGCAGAAGGCUUAUGUCCUUAAUGCACCACUCGGUGUGCUGCACCUCGAGCGUCGUCUGUGGAUGCUGUGAACAUCGGACAUACACGUUUCUGAUGACUACACGAUAGUUCAGUGCAAAAUACUUAAUGGCUUAGAAGCAAGGCGCCGAAGACAUUUUGAAACAUCACGGAACAUAAGUGAUAUUCUAAAGAGAUGAAAUUGUGAUUUCAUGCUUGUGCCCUUGUUCAGAGGUACGAGACCUCCGACAAGAUUCUUUGUCCAUAGAGUAAAGGAGAAAAGCUCAAUCGUUGAGCGUGCGCUCAGAUUGUCUGAGUACGACAAUUGCUUGAAUCAAGUGGGAGUUAAUCUUCCAGAUGAGAUAGUGAUGGUUCUCCAAAGUCACUGCCACCAAGCUGUGAGAGCUUCGUGAUGAACUAUAACAUAUCAAGGAUGGAUACAAUGAUCCUUGAGCGAUUCGCGAUGUUUGACACUGCGAAAGUAGAAAUCAAGAAGGAGCAUCAAUAGUUGAUGGUUUGUAAAACCACUAAGUUUCAAGAAAGGCAAGGGCUAGAAGGGAUACUUCGUGAAACGGCAAAACAGUUGUGCACUAAUGAAGAGACCCAAGAUUAAACCCAAACCCGAGACUAAGUGCUUCUGUAAUGAGGGGAACAGUCACUGAGGCGGAGCAACUCUAGAUACUUGGUAGACAAGAAGGCUGGCAAAAGUCGAAAGAAGUAUAUUUGAUAUACAUGAUGUUGAUGUGUACUUUACUAGUACUCCUAGUAGCAUGAGGGUAUUGGAUACCGGUUCGGUUGCUAAGUGAUUAGUAACACGAAAUGAAAGCUAUGGCAUAAAUGGAGACUAGCUAAAGGCGAGGUGACGAUACGUGUUGGAAGUGUUUCCAAGAUUGAUAUGAUCAAAACGUCGCGCGCUCCCUCUACCAUCGGGAUUGGUGUUAAACCGAAAUAAUUGUUAUUUGGUGCUUGCGUUAAGCAUGAACAUGAUUGGAUCUUGUUUAUUGCAAUACGAUUAUUCAUUUAAAGAUAAUAAUGGUUACUCUAUUUUCCUUGAAUAAUCACCUUCAAUGAUUUAUUGAGUCUCGAUCGUAGUGUUACACAUGUUCAUGAUAUUGGUGUCAAAAGAUACGAGGUAAUGAUGUUAGUACCACUUACUUGUGGCACUGCCGCUUGAGUCAUGUUAGUAUAAAUUGCAUGAAGAGGCUCCAUGCUAAUGGAUCUUUAUAUUCACUUGAUUUUGAAUCACUAGUGACAUGCUAAUCAUACCACAUGAGCAAGGCCUUGUUUUGAUUGAGAUGAAUCAAGAUAGUAACUUGUUGGAAGUGAUACAUUUUGAUGUAUGCAGUCCAAUGGGUGCUGAGGCACGCAGUGAAUAUCAUUAUGUUCUUACUUCAAUGACGAUUUAAGUAGAUACAAGAGUAUUUACUUAAUGAAUCACAAGUCUGAAAUAUUGAAAAGUUCAAUUCUGUUUCAGAGUGAAGUUCGUCGUAACAAGAGGAUAAACUGUCUACGAUAUGAUCAUAGAAAUGAAUAUCUGAGUUACGAGUUUUGGUACGCAGUUAANNNNNNNNNNNNNNNNNNNNNNNNNNNNNNNNNNNNNNNNNNNNNNNNNNNNNNNNNNNNNNNNNNNNNNNNNNNNNNNNNNNNNNNNNNNNNNNNNNNNCGACCACAUACCUCCACGGUUUUACCUCUAGAUCGCGUCUCUGCGGAGCUCGGGCGGAGCCCUGCCGAGAUUAGAUCAUCACCAACCUCCGGAGCGCCGUCACGCUGCCGGAGAACUCAUCUACCUCUCCGUCUCUCUUGCUGGAUCAAGAAGGCCGAGAUCAUCGUCGAGCUGUACGUGUGCUGAACGCGGAGGUGCCGUCCGUUCGGCACUAGAUCGUGGGACGGAUCGCGGGACGGUUUGUGGGACGGUUCGUGGGACGGUUCGAGUGGCGGAUCGAGGGACGUGAGGACGUUCCACUACAUCAACCGCGUUCACUAACGCUUCUGCUGUGCGAUCUACAAGGGUACGUAGAUCGGAAAUCCCCUCUCGUAGAUGGACAUCACCAUGAUAGGUCUUCGUGCGCGUAGGAAAUUUUUUGUUUCCCAUGCGACGUUCCCCAUCAGAAGGGCCUAUCUUGUACCUUUACUUUUUGCCCUUAUAAGAGUCAUGGUGAUCAUCACCAAUUCCCUUUUUGCCUUUUUCUUGGCUACCCGUCACAUGCUUGGGAAAGAUCUAUAUUCAUAUAUCAACUUGGAGUUGAGUACUUAUGCUUUAUUGUUGUUGACUUUACCUUUGAGGUAAAUGGUUGGGAGGCAAAACUAUAAGCCCCUAUCUUCCUCUGUGUCCAGUUAAAACUUUGACACCAUGAGUACCACGUGAGUUGUAACAAUUGUGGAAAACAAAAGAGAUGAUUGAGUAUGUGGGUUUGCCUUACAAGCUCUUAUUUGACUCUUUCUGAUGUUGUGAUAAAUUGCAAUUGCUUCAAUGGCUAUGGUUUAUUGUUGGUUACUUCUCGGUAAGGUUUUUUGCUUCAUGGUUUGCUUUGUGAAGGAAUUGUUACUUUCCCAUAAGAAUCUUUAUGAUGUAUUGUUGUUCUAUGUGUGAUCAUGAUGCCCUCAUGUCCGUAUUAUGUUUUAUCGACACCUUCGUCCCUCAACAUGUGGACAUGUUUAUGGAACUUGGUUUUCGCUUGAGGACAAGCGAGGUAUAAGCUCGGGGGAGUUGAUACGCCCAUUUUGCAUCAUGCUUUCAUGUUGAUAUUUAUUGCUUUUUGGGCUGUUAUAUUACUUGUGGUACCAUAUUUAUGCUUUUUCUCUCUUAUUUUGCAAGUUUUAUUUGAAGAGGGAGAAUUCACGCAGCUGGAAUUCUGGACUGGAAAAGGAGCAAAUCCUAGUCCACUAUUCUGCACAUCUACAAAUGCCCUGAAAAGUUACGUGGAUUUUUUUGGGAUUAUAUAAAAAAUACUGGGCGAAAGAACUACCGGAGGGGGGCUGCCAAGGCGCCACAAGCCCUAAUACCGCCACCCCCUGGUGGCGGAGUGGGGGCUUGUGGGCUCCCUGACAGCCCACUAGCCCCCUCUUUUGCUAUAUGAAUCAUCCUGGUCCAGAAAAAAAAAUCAGAGGGGAGCUUUUUCGUGGUUUCGCCGCCACCACGAGGCGGAACUUUAGCAGAUCCAAUCUAAAGCUCCGGCAGGACGAUCCUGCCGGGGAAACUUCCCUCCCGGAGGGGGAAAUCGUCGCCAUCGUCAUCACCAACACUCCUCUCGUCGGAUGGGAGGCAUGUUCAUCAACAUCUUCAUCAGCACCAUCUCCUCUCCAAUCCCUAGUUCAUCUCUUGUAACCAAUCUUCGUCUUGCAACUCCGAUUGGUACUUGUAAGGUUGCUAGUAGUGUUGACUACUCUUUGUAGUUGAUGCUAGUUGGAUUACUUGGUGAAAGAGUUUAUGUUCAGAUCCUUGAUGCUAUUCAUUACACCUCUGAUCAUGAUUAUGAUUAUGUUUUGUGAGUAGUUACUUUUGUUCCUGAGGACAUGGGAUAAGUCAUGUUAAUAAUAGUCAUGUGAAUUUGAUAUCCGUUCGGUAUUUUGAUAUGUUGUAUGUUGUUUUUCCUCUAGUGUGUUAUGUGAACAUCGACUACAUAACACUUCACCAUAUUUGGGCCUAGAGGAAGGCAUUGGGGAGUAGUAAGUAGAUGAUGGGUUGCUGGAGUGACAGAAGCUAAAACCCCAGUCUAUGCGUUGCUUCGUGAGGGGAUGAUUUGGAUCCACUAGUUUAAUGCUAUGGUUAGACUUUGUCUUAAUUNNNNNNNNNNCGAGAGAGGUUAAUCAUAACUGGGAUGCUUGUCCAAGUAAGGGCAACACCCAAGCGCCGGUCCACCCACAUAUCAAACUAUCAAAGUAACGAACGCGAAUCAUAUGAACAUGAUGAAACUAGCAUGACAGAAAUUCCCGUGUGUCCUCGGGAGCGUUUUUCCUCCUAUAAGACUUUGUUCAGGCUUGUCCCUUGCUACAAAAGGGAUUGGGCCACUUGCUGCACCGUCGCUACUACUUGUUUCUUGUUACUUUUUGCUUGCUACGUUUCACCUGCUAGACAAUCACUUGUUACCGCUACUUUCAGUGCUUGCAGUUAUUACCUUGCUGAAAUCCGUUUAUCAGAGCCUUCUGCUCCUUGUUGGGUUCGACAGUAUUACUUAUCGAAAGGACUACGAUUGAUCCCCUAUACUUGUGGAUCGUCAACCAGCGCCGGCGUCGUUCUACUGCUCCAACUCGACGACAACUCAAAUGAAACACUAUCAUGUUUCAAGUAUGAACAUCCUCAUCGGUGUCUAUUACUGUAAUAUAGUAAGAUGCAAUAUUUUACAUUAAAAGUGAGUCAACCAUGUGACUUUGGUCCACGGACUAGUAAAGAUCCAUUUUUGGUUCAUACCCUAUACGAUUCACCGGCCUAUUGCCUCAUUUGAAACUAGUGUGCUUAACUAUUCCUACUAGGUGAACCACAUUGCCUCAUUUGAAACUAGUGUGCUUAACUAUUCCUACUAGGUGAACCAAUUGACUCACCGGCCCAUUGCCUCUUUUGACCCUCUCAUAUAGCUUCCAAUAUAUUAAACAUAUAACGCUGACCUGUCAUAUUGUGUCUUUGUCACGCCACGACUCCUUAAUCGCUCUAUGCACCUGGACCGAUCGAGAGAGCAGUACCGAUCAAUUUCGUGUCCUGCGACCAAACGACGCUGAGCGUGGAGCAACCUGUGCUACGACACCUCGAGAAACGCGAGGAAAUAGACUAAUUUGUAAUUACUAAGUUGGCUGCAGUGUGACUAUAAGUACUAGGCAGUUUAUCCACUUUUGACAGAACAGUCCCUAAUGUAUUAUCCAGGGACCCGUUCUCGAGGGACGGUUAGUAACAGGGGCCAAAGUGGAAGAACAGAAUAGCCCCUAAGGUAUUAUCCAGGGACCCGUUUGCGAGGGACGGUUAGUAACAGGGACCAAAGUGGAAGAACAGAAUAGCCCCGAAGGUAUUAUUCAGGGACCCGUUUGCGAGGGACGGUUAGCACCGGGGGGGUAAAGUGGAAGAAGGGCGUAUGCGUGGCAUGGCACACCACAUCUCCACGAACGAUCAUCGGUUGGAGAGAAGAAGAAAAAAAAAAGGAUCAUCGGUCGCUGACAGACACCACCACACCGCGCGGGGGGAGAAGAGAAAACAACGGUCGCUCGAUCUCGCCGGAAUCGAUCCCCGCCGGCGACGGCGACGCCCCUCCUCGCCGGAUCCAGCUCCGCCGCCCCAGAUCCGGCGCCCCCCUCCCUCCUCCGUAGAGGCCCGCGGCAGCUCGUCUCGGUGCCGCGCCGCGCCGUCGGAGAAGCCUCCUCCGGCGUCCCGCGGCACCGCCGACUCGGGGGGAGCCUCCCCACGGGGACCAGCUCCGGCGUCGUUCUACUGCUCCAACUCGACGACGCCAUCGCCUAGGG
This 73007-nucleotide long non-coding RNA is filed under the name Hordeum vulgare. Its description in RNAcentral is "long non-coding RNA (HVUL_LNC011350)". The record is from RNAcentral. Lineage: Eukaryota; Viridiplantae; Streptophyta; Magnoliopsida; Poales; Poaceae.